UCAAAAAUAAAUAUUUAAAAUAAUAAUAAAAUAUAGUAGCAUUUAACUAUAGGGAGCCACUAGGAGUUAUUUUCUCUCUCCUCACAUUUAGGAGUUCUUAAAGGUCUCCUUAUUUUAGGAGCUGGAUAGGGAACCUGAUUGGAAGUGGGUUUUUUCAAUUCCCUAAAUUUUAGACGAAGGAGGUGAUUUAAGGAGCCCAUUGUGAAUGCUCUUAUGAUUUUAUCAGUAUGCCGGGAGGCUUAGUGUGCUAGUUGCUUUGUACUUUGCCUCCUUGAAUUUUGGAGUGCUUAUUGUUGAAUGUACUACUUGUUAUUAGUUACGCCUUUUGUUGACUUGAUUUUGAAUCUUCCCCAAUGCUCCAUAUUCUUAUGUCUAUGGGUAGAAUAAAAGUCGGUUAAUAUAUAUAUACUCAAACUUGGUUAAUAAAACUUGGGGUUUGAUUAAUUUGACUUGUAUGGGGUUUGCUCUCCAAGUGCUUUUGUUCCCCCCUUCUUCCUUAACAUGGUCAUACAUAACUCCGAUUAGAAGAAAAUAAGCAAGAAAAUUAUGAAUCAAUAGGAAUAAGAAUAAGUAAUAAUUUAUCUCUAUAAAAAAAAUGUAAUAAUUUAUAUUGCAAAGUGGUAGACCGGAAUAAGUAAAAGAUACAAUAACCUUUUUCUUUUUUGUUUUUCUCAUGAGAGAUGCUCAAUAUAUCUAUAUAUAUAAAGCGAAAGGUAGAGAAACAUUCAAAAUACUAGAAAAUGCCCUUGGUUAAUGCAAACAUUAAGAAUUAAAAUUAUUAAUUAAAUAAGGAUAAUAUGGUAAAUUCACAUUUUUUCAUAUUUAAAAAAUUAAAAUCAAAAGAAAAAUCAGAUAAAAGGAUCCUAUUUUUAUAAACCACAACUACCCAUUAUCUUUUUUAAUUCUAAAAUAAAUUUAAUUUUUUUAUAUAAAAAAGGCCUCUCGUAGGUGCGAAAGCUGUGUGCGGAGAAGCUAGUCUUUUAAUUAAGAGAAGAAAAUAUGAUGCCAAAAUAAUAAAAAAAUCAAGAAAAGAAAAUAUGAAAUAUAAAAACGAAUACUUUGGAAAAUUUGUAAUAUUUCAUCAACAUUUACCAAAUAUAAUUUGCCAUAUUUUCAAUUUUACAAAUGAUUAGAAAAUCCACUUUCAACAAAAAACAUAGUAGAUAAUAAAGAAACGAAUUUUUCCAUCCUAAUCCAAUUACAAAUAGAAGAAAAACUUUUGCCCAAACUAUUCAAGCUAAUCCCAUUUUUCUAGGGUUUUAGCGCGUUGCUCAAGUUACAAGCUAGAUAUAAACCCCAAAGUAUUAGGUUUCCUUGUUCGUUGCUUUGAUAUAUAAUUAUUAAGAACCAGGGUUUCCUUGUUACUAUUUCCUUCACUGCUCUCUAUACCAUGGUUUCUUCUUUGAAUUUCAAGAGCAAUAGGACGGCCACUGGCCGCAGCAGAAUCCCCAGCAACUCCAUCCCUCAAGCUUUGUGUCCCGAUCCCAUCACCAACCUCGUACAAAUGGCUGCGGUCAAGGCCAGAGAGGCUGCAGAAGCAUACUUCACGCUUCGACAUUUCGACUGUGCGAUCAUGCAGGCAAGGGCAGCCAAAGAGUUGUAUCCAGAGUUCCCUGGUAUGGACAAUUACAUGGCCGCAUACCAAAUUCAUUCUGCCGUAUCACACAAGAAAAACUGGUACCAUAUUCUUGGCAUCCCCAACCCUGCCAUUGCCGACUCUGAAGCCAUCAAGAAACAAUACAAGAGAUUGGCGCUUGCCUUGCACCCUGAUAAGAACUGGUCUAUUGCUGCGGAUGGUGCUUUCAAGUAUGUUAAAGCAGCCUGGGAUGUUCUCUCCGACCGUGCGAAAAGAGAGGCUUACGACAAGUCUUUAAGUCCGAGGUCUCAAGGGGCUCGUGGUUCCAAUAACAGCAAACCAGCGCAGCAGCAGAGGUCCAAUGCCUGUUCUCGCAAAAGGGCCGGCCCUGAUGCUAAUUCUACCGGAGGAGAUGGGAGUUUCUACAAGAAAACCAUUAAGAUUGUAAGAAAAUCAAAUCCGGGCCAAAGGGCGACUGUUGUGAUGUUAUCAGUAUGCCGGGUGGCUUAAUGUUACUUGAUUUGUAAAUUGCCUCGAACUUUUGGGUGAUUAUUGUUGUAUGUAACCACUUGAUAUUCAAUACAACUUUUGUUGAAAUAAUUUUGAACCUAAUUCUUAUGUCUAUUGUAGAUUCGGUCAAUUACCAGUGUAGGGCAUGGGGUAGAAAUCAAUUGGUUAAUACUCAAAAUUGGCAGAUUUAUUACACCAUCUAAAACCACCUGAAACCCCAAGCAUGCCUAUGCGAUUUGCUACGAGUCUCUUCAGAAGUUACAAGUUUCUGUUGAAAAAGACUUAACAGAUUUUUGAUUUGGUAAGAGAUGACAAGUCUUCCUCAUGAUCGAUUCAUGCCCUAUUGUUGCCUGAGUAUCAGCCAUGCUUAGCUUAAUAGCGAGUAGGAAUAACUAUUGAGGUUUUGCAAAACCUGAAGAGGAAACUUUGUGGGUGAAUUUGCCCUGGGUCUCUCAUAUUGUGGGGACAUCAAGAGCCUAUUUGGCCAAUCUGGAACUGUCAAAAAGUUCGGGUUUGAUUAAUUUGACUCGUAUGGGGUUUGCUCUCCAAGUAUGCUUGUUCCUUCCCUUCUUCCUUUUCCAUGACAAGUCUUUGUGAAAUAACUCUGAUGAGACUUACAAAGAAUCUCAGUUUUGAGUUGUAACAAGCAUAUAUAGUUAGGAUUAAUUUCUUUUUUCUUCUUCUCAUGAGUGAUAAUCAAUCUGUUUUGAACAAGCAAUAGUACUGUUGGUCCCUUUUCCUGCCAACAUUCUUUUUGUGGUUUGCUCUGUAUUGAGCCGCUCUGGAGAGUGGGAAGGUCGUCGGAUCAACACCAAUGCCCCGAUUGGAUUUCUAGCUCGCGAGGAAGAUUCUUUUAACUUUUGGACAAAAUUGAAAGUUGGAUCAGGUUGAUAGGAAUAGGCAAGCUCGGGUUGGGCCCUAUCGACUUGUUCCUUCUGUCCUGGUCGUGGAUUGCAUAGGCGUGCCACUAUUGGGUAUGAGACCAGCCCAUAAACCUGGUAUAUGUAGUGUAGGAUGUUGAUAUGUUGUACUUGCACUUAUUCUAGACUUCUGCUCAAGCCAUUGUGCUCCAAGGGGGGUACUGGCCUGGAUGAGUUCUUUUCUAUACCUCAAAUAAGAGGACUUCAAUACUCUUUCAUUUGUGCGUGUCGGUUUGAUAGAUACGAUCAAUACUUGAUCAAACAAGGGGGAAAACCAGAGUCGUGGUUAAUGGUACCCUAUUUGGGUUCAGAAACCUAACUUAAAUCCAAUAAACCCCUAAUUUGGGUCAAGAUUUUGGUCAAUUCUAGCCCAAUGGUAUAGUUCGGGCAUGAAUUAACCUUUACUUUCUAACUAACGGGGCCCUAUUCGGGCCUAGACCUCUGUUUUGGGUUCAAAUGGUAAAUUUGAAUAAUAUAAAAGAGGGAAACUAAACUAGUAUAUAUAUAUAUAUAUAUAUGUGUGUGUGUAUAUAAAAAUAAGCAAUUAAAUAGCAGAUACUUAAUGAAAUAGUCAAGAAAAUUCCAAGAUUUCUUCAUCCAAUUUUAACUUGAUAACAAAGAAAGACAGGAGUCAUAAAUUUGUCCAUUUAACUAAUUCAAAACAACGUUUAAAUAUAAGGAAAACUAGAGAUUUCUCUAUCUAGUUCGAGCAAUACAUAAAUUCAAAUUGAUCGUUUAAAAGAAAUCAUACCAAGAGAAUGGCAGAGCAACAAAAGAUGAACGUAGGAGUUGUCAACUAGUUAUUUGAAUAUCAAGUAGGCUUUGUUUGAAAAGAUCUUGAGUUUUUUCAAGUGUUUUCAAGAUGUUGCAUCUAAUUUUUGGAGAGAGAGUCCCCUUCUUCUGUUGCGGAAGCUCUAUACUUAUAGACAAGAAAUCUCAAUGAUGAAAGUUGAAAGAGGAUAUUUGGCUACUAUCCAAUGUCAGCUGUUGAUAUGUUUUUUUGGAUUGGUUUAUAGGUGAGCGGAAUAUCUCUAACAAAACCACUGGUUAUACGAGAUGUUUCUCUGACUUGAGUUCUCUAUAUCUGGAAAUCCAGUUGGCAAUCGGCUCCUUUAGGUCCUUGUGGCUUUUAUCCAGCUUGCUUUUCUUGUUGGGUGAGAAGACGGUCAAGUCGCUAUUAAUGGUGACAAUCCUUCUUCAAACCCUCAUGUGGGUCGAUGUACAACGGUUACCAAUUUUUCAAACUUUAGUGUGGAUCAAAGUUUGGGCUUCCUGGCACUAUGGGCUUCUAUUAAGUUUUACCCGUUGUUGGCCCAUUAUUAAAAAGGGUUCUUUUUGUCUUUUCAAAAGGAAAGAAAUUAAAAGAUAUUGGGCUUGGGCUUGAAUAGCCAUUUUUUCUGAGAAAUAGACCAUUUUUCGGCCUAGGCUUUAAAAGAUACCAUAACUUUUUUCUUUUUUCUUUUUCCCAUGAGAGAUGCUCAAUCUUGUAAUUAAGAGAAGAAAAUAUGAUGCCAAAAUAAAAAUAAAAAUUCAAGAGAAGAAAAUAUGAAAUAUAAAAACGAAUACUUUGAAAAAUUUGUAAUAUUUCAUCAACAUUUACAAAAUAUAAUUUGCCAUUUUUUCAAUUUAUAAAUUAUUAGAAAAUCCACUUUCAACAAAAAAAUAGUAGAUAAUAAAGAAACGAAUUUUUCUAUCCUAAUCCAAUUACAAAUGGAAGAAAAACUUUUGUCCAAACUAUACAAGCUAAUCCCAAUUUUCUAGGGUUUUAGCGUGUUGCUCAAGUUACAAGCAAGAUAUAAACCCCAAAGUAUUAGGUUUCCUUGUUCGUUGCUUUGAUAUAUAAUUAUCAAAGUACCAGGGUUUCCUUGUUGCUAUUUUCUUCACUGCUCUCUACACCAUGGUUUCUUCUUUGAAUUUCAAGCGCAAUAGGAUGGCCACUGGCCGCAGCAGAAUCCCCAGCAACUCCAUCCCUCAAGCUUUGUGUCCCGAUCCCAUCAUCAACCUAGCACAAAUGGCUGCGAUCAAGGCCCGAGAGGCUGCAGAAGCAUACUUCACGCUUCGACAUUUCGACCAUGCGAUCAUGCAGGCAAGGGCAGCCAAAGAGUUGUAUCAAGAGUUCCCUGGUAUGGACAACUACAUGGCUGCAUACCGAAUUCAUUCUGACGUAUCACACAAGAAAAACUGGUACCAUGUUCUUGGCAUCCCCAACCCUACUGUUGCCGACUCGGAAGCCAUCAAGAAACAAUACAAGAGAUUGGCACUUGCCUUGCACCCUGACAAGAACGGAUCUAUUGCUGCCGAUGGUGCUUUCAAGUAUGUUAAAGCAGCCUGGGAUGUUCUCUCCGACCGUGCUAAAAGAGAGGCUUACGACAAGUCUUUAAGUCCGAGGUCUCAAGGGGCUCGUGGUUCCAAUAACCGCAAACCAGCGCAGCAGCAGAGGUCCAAUGCCUGUUCUCGCAAAAGGGCCGGCCCUGAUGCUAAUUCUACCGGAGGAGAUGGGAGUUUCUACAAGAAAACCAUUAAGAUUGUAAGAAAAUCAAAUCCUGGCCAAAGGGCGACUGUUGUGAUGUUAUCAGUAUGCCGGCUGGCUUAAUGUUACUUGAUUUGUAAAUUGCCUCUAAUUUUGAGGUGAUUAUUGUUGUAUGUAACUACUUGAUAUUCAAUACACCUUUUGUUGAAAUAAUUUUAAACCUAAUUCUCAUGUCUAUGGUAGAUAAUCUGUCAAUUACCAGGGUAGGGCAUGGGGUAGAAAUCAAUUGGUUAAUACUCAAAAUGCCAACACAGAAAUACUGUCAAGAAACCAUAAACAGAUUUAUUACACCAUCAAAAAACACCUGAAACCCAAAUUCCACCUAAAACCCCAAGCAUGCCUACGCGAUUUGCUGCGAGUCACUUCAAAAGUUACAAGUUUCUGUUGAAAAGGACUUAACAGAUUUUGAUAAGAGAUGACAGGUCUUCCUCAUGAUCGAUUCAUGCCCUAUUGUUGUGCCUGAGAGUAGGAAUAACUGUCGAAGUUUCCUGAAGAGGAAACUUCGUGGGUGAAUUUUCUGUGGGUCUCUCAUAUUGUGGAGGACGUCAAGAGCUUAUUUGGCCAAUCUGAAACUGUCAAACAGUUGGGUUUGAUUAAUUUGACUUGUAUGGGGUUUGCUCUCCAAGUGUGCUUGUUCCUUCCUUUUUCCUUUUCAUACAAGUCUUUGUGAAAUAACUCCAAUGAGAUGGAAAAAGAAUCUCAGUUUUGAGUUGUAACAAGCAGAUGUAGUAAGGAUGCACUCAAAUUGUUCUCUAACAAAUUCUGUAUCCAUAGGACUCUGUAAUAAUAAACUUAUUAAUUUCUUUUUUGUUCUUCCCAUGAGAGAUAAUCAAUCUUUAUUGAACAAGCUGUACAUAGACAACUGAUACAAUCCAGAAGCCACAAGUAGUAGUACAUACUUAUAUAACUAGUCACAAUGAAAAAAAUGAUCUUAUCAUAUGCGCAGGAAAAAAAUCCCUCUCACAUGCACGAGACCGCAUGCUAAGAGGCAAGUAUAUUACAAUUUACAAUCACAUGACUGCCAGUAAUUAAUUAUUAUUAGUAGAAUUAAGCAAGAAAGCUUGUGAUUUUCUCUCAUAGUAAAAGUUGUUGGUAGAUGCAGCAUCAGCUGAGAAGAUCAUGACCCCAUUAAUUUCAAAGCCAUUUUUCUCCAACAGACUCAAAGCAUCAAAAAAUGCAUUCCCCUGAAUCCCUCUUCCAUUUACUUCAUAGCUAGGCAACAACUUAUCCUUUCCAAAUUGCUUGGCCCGAAAUGUGUAGGCAUCUAAAUACCCUUUUGGGGUGUUAACCUUGUCAGUGUAGAACUGGUGGUUGACAUAGUCUAUAACAUCUCCAUAACCAUUAAAAAGUUGAACAUAUGGCGCAGCCGUACUAUAAAAUGGAGCAAUGCUAGCUACUGAGAUGAGCCUUUGUUUUUUCAGACGGGUGAUGAGCUCGCCGAUGCAAAAAGCGAAAGAACUUGAUGAGUUACUGCUCUUCUGGUUCGGGAAAUUUUCGUAGUCUAUGUCAAUGCCAUCAAGAUGGUAAGUGGUGAUUAUGGAACCAAGAGAUGAGACAGCAUUGGAUAUCCAUAAGUUGGGGUCUGUUGGAUUGUACCAACGAAGGACUGUUUGGCCUAAGCUCCAACCUGAGAGGCUUGCCAAGACUUUUACGUUAGGGUGGCUUUUCUUUAUGGCCGCAACAGAUUUUGGGGUUAAUGUAGUCUCCCAGUAUGGUGAGAAUGUCCCAUUUUGUGGAUUGCCUGAUGCAUCUGCAUCAAUUGCAAAGCCGAGUAUGAAAUUGAAGUCAAUUUCAUCUUCAAUUGGUACAGAGUCAAAUUUUAUUGGAAUUCCUGAGGCUCCAAUGUACUCCAUCAUCAACUUUCCAUCUGAAUCAUGCAUAGAUAAUUUGAACGGUUAGCCACAACACAAAAGAUUAGAUAGCUAGCUUAAUAGCAUCUACUUAUAAAUAGUGAAAGCAAAUAUUUGUGGUACCAAAAAUUUUAUGUAGAUGCUGUAGCACGCAACGAUGCGUUAGGAAUUGUGGAUCCUUUAUAAGCUAUGUAUAUGGUGAGAAAUUAGAGAAAAUAGUUAGACUGCAUACCACAAAAUUGUUGAAACAUGAAUGCAGCUGCAGCAACAUAAAGGAGAAAGAGUUGAAGUUGAGUCAUUCUACUUGGUUGUCAAUUAUCUUGAAUGAAGAUGAAGAACCAAUGAAGAAAGCCGUAGUUUUUAUAAAUCUAUUGAAGUUCACAUCAAGCCGGCCAGCACCAAUGGAGCAUAUUUGCACAAUUGGAGAAAGCUGGAAAGAUUGUGAUAUCUAUAAUGAAAUGAUUGAUGACAAAAAAGAAUUUUGAAAGUUACAAGAAUUUCAUAAAGGAGAGAGAGUUGAAUUUGAAGCAUCCUGCUUUGGUUGUUUGCUUGAAUGAAUACGAAGAAAAAAAAAAAGAAUAAGUAAAGCUCUGGCUUUCAUAAAUCUAUUGAAAUUCACAUUAAGCCGGCUAAAACCAAUCUAGCGUAUACAUAUAAUGUAUAAUAUUCAUUUAUGCACAAAUGGAUUACGCUGGAAAGAUUCUGAUAUAAAGGACAAAAGGAAAUUUCUAAAGGUUACAAGAAUUUCAUCUAUGUUUGUUUCAUAACUAGGGAACUAGUCAAACAAAUAUUUGGUUACUGUUUUUGUGACACUUUCAAGGUUCAGCCGAUGUUGCAGUUCCUUGAAGCAAAAAAUAGGCAUCUUUCUAGCAUCACACCCUGACAAGAACGGCAAUCCGUCGUUGCCGAUCAUUGCGCAGUUGGUGCUGUUAAGCUCUUUCGAAUUGCCUUGGACAUCAUCUCCGACCUUGUUUUUUUCUAUCCUUUCUUUGUACUGUUGCUUAAGUGUCUGAUUUGGUGUUAUGUAAUGAUCUAAUAUUUGUUCUAAAAAGCAUUGAAAAUAGAUUCUUCCUCUCUGGUCUUACUAUAGGCACAUUUCUGGUCUGAUUUAUGGACUUCACACAUAACCCAAAUGAAAUUAAACUUUUUCUUUGGAGGGAUGCAAAUGAUAUUCACACAACUGAGACCAAACAGGUCAAGAAGUUGGUGGGUAUACCUAUUUCUUGUUUAUGCCCCCACCCAAAAAACCCCUCAAUAAAAAUUGAAUACCGGUUGGCUAAAAGGGAAGGGAAAUGAGAAGGGGGCUAUUCAGGAACGCAAAAAAGUUGCAAUAGCUGUCAAAGUUGCAUGUGAAAAACCAUCUUCAGAACCAUAUAUUUUCAUUAGAAUGAAACUAAUAGAAUACCUUUUUCUCUUUCUGGGAAAAUUAACAUUCUAUUGGUUACAGGAGUUUUUAUAGUUAAUCAACAACAGAACUGCUUCUAAACUCAGGAUUUACAUCUCCCCACAUUCAGCAAUUACACAAGCUAGUUUGGGGCGAUUGUUGGGUCCUGUAGCCACAUUCUCAAUCUUCCUAACCACCAAAAGGCCAUCUCCAAGUACUCUCUGCAUACAAAUUAACAAAACAACGGAAAACAGGUUCUCAGUACCACUAAAACUGGAAGGUUUUAAAGGGAAACAAGUAAUUUCAGGUUGAGAAACAAGAGGGGUAUAGUCAGUGGAAAUCCAUAUAGGUUGCCAGUCUUGGAAAUAUAGACAUAAGAUAAUGCAACUCCACUCUAACAAAAUUGAAAACUACAACUAUACAAAUAUGCUUAAGUUUGUUUUGCACACUCAAGGGGGUGUGAAUUUUUGGAUCCUAGAUUCAUUUUUAGGUAAAACAUUUCCCAAGGGAAUCUAACACGCCAUAGGCUGAUAUCAGAUCUUGGCUUGGGCAUGGUUAGGGACAAAGUAUAUCACAGUUUUCAUGCCAGAUUGACUUUCACCUUAAUGCUUAGGCUUUUGAGUCACCUCAAGUUUAAUAUCAGCUUCACAAGCCCAUAGGGUAAUACUUGUUCAUCUAUAUGGCUCUUUUAUUUAUUUGGUAAGUGAAUCAUAUGACCCUCUCUCAUUGAUAAGUAAUCAGGCACCGGUAUGUUUGAGUAAAAUAAUUUAUAUAUCAAAAGAAUUAGAAAGAAGGAAUCAUAGCAUACCCCGAACACAACAUGCUUAUUGUCAAGCCAGUCACAUUUCGAGCAAGUGAUAAAGAACUGAAAUGGAAAAAAGAAAAAAGGAACAUUAAUCAAUAGAACCAAAAGUUCUCAACUCUUUGUGCGGGUAUGUGUGUGUGCGUGUGUGUGUGUGUGUGUGAGAGAGAGAGAGAGAGAGAGAGAGUUUUGUUUUGGUUGGAGACAGAGAGAGUUUGAAUUGCUGAAUUGACCUGGCACCCAUUGGUAUUUGGUCCACUAUUUGCCUGAAAAAGGAGCACACGAUUUAAUCCAUUCAGUCUCGAUAAAACAAUCCCAUAUUGGAGUGCACACACAGGACAAAAAGGAACACAUAUUGGAACACACACACACAAUACACAGAAUUCCUUCAGGACUGGGAUCCCUUGGCUGUUCACAUGGCAACAAGGGCUGUUUGAACAGCAUGUCAAUUGGUUGAUGACUUGGUAUAGAAGCCAUUUAUGGUUUAGGUUUAAGUUUUGACAAACUCCCAAAACCCAUGAGUUUAAAAACCUAAAUUAUAAGCUCUAAACGGGUGCGCUUUGGCAGACUAGCGCUGUUCUGGAAGGCCAGAUGUGUUGUUCGUAUGCUGUGUGAUCCCUCUAAACAAGGUCCCGUCAAAGAAACAACCUAUAUAAAAUGUAUUUAUAUAAUGGGGAAGGAUCCAUGACGCUAUUUUUUACACAAGUUGUGAACCAUUAGAUUGAGUGCCAUGGAUCCUACUAAUCUCAGCGAUUAGUAGUGUCUACAUCUAAUGGUUAAAAACUUGUCUCAAAACUUGCAUUAAAAAAAAAAAAAAAAAAGUACCAUGGAUCCUUCCCCUUAUAGAUAUACAUUACAAAAAAGUAACUCAUAUGGGGACACAAAUGAAAGACAAAAAGGUAUGAUAGCUUCAAAUUUAAUCUUGUAUUCUCAAUUUGAACAUGAAAAGCUAGAAUUCUAUUAAAAAGAGUGGCCUAAUUCUAUAAGCAAUCUAAAAUAAAAUCCCACAAGGAGAAGCAAAUAAUAAAAGUAAUAAAACCCUAGUAAAACAAAUUAAAGUAAACAGAACGCUUGGGCAAACACUAACAAUAGAUUAUUGGGCCAUCCCAAUUCCCAUCAAUCCCUUUGUUGUUUCCGUGUUCUAAAUGAACAACUCAGUAACCCAAAAAACGAUUGAGGUUUGGCACAAAAGCUAAGUGAGAUUACAGCUACUGCAGACAUAUAUACACAGUACAUCGUUAAAUCUCUUACACACAUCUUACAAUGUGUUUAGAAACAAGUAAUGAGUAUGAAAAUAUUCAACCCAUGAAGGAGGGGAAAAGAAAAGCAGGACAAAAACUUUUUUUUUUUGGUCAUAGACAAAAAGCCACAAAAAGGUCUGCCACACAGAAAUGUCAAAAGACUUUCACAGAUUAAUUACACCAUCCAAAACAGGUGAAACCCAAAUUAGCUCUACAACCCAGGCAUGCCUAUGCGAUUUACUUAUAUUGCUCUUUAAAAGUAAGAAGUCCUAUUUUAAAAGACUCUGACCCAAAUUCCACCUAAAAGAAAAUUCUGUUAAGACUUUAAACUACAAACUCAAUCACCCAUAAGUAAAUCAAUGCCAAUGGGGAUCUUAAAUUGAAGGACUAAUCAUCAUCAGCACUGUGAACUAGAGCCUAACAAUUUCGCAGCUUAUACCUAUGUACAAUAUAUGAGAUACAAAUGAGUGAUUGAAAAAACCCAAAUCAAAUUAGAACUUAGACUAUUGCCUCUCAAUGUACAAAUUUUUUAUUAAAGGAUUGAAUGUAAAGUUUAACUAAUUCUAAAUUCUCAACAUGAAGAAAAAAAAAAAAUUACUGCACAUGAUAAGUGUGUAAACUAAGGCAAGAUAAAAAUAAAAUAAAAAAAGGAAAAAGAACUUGGAAAGAUAUCUUCCAAAACUAUGGGGGAAACACAGUGAGAGUUAUUCAAUACUAAAUGUACAAUGAAAAAUGCAUACCAUUGACAAAAGGCCAGGACCAGUGUGUUUGGCGUCAAAAGUCUCAUCAUCGAACUGAUGUCCAUAAAUGGAAGCACAUCCACUACCAUCACCCUGCAAAGCAAGAACUUCAUUAUACGCGUCUUGUAACAAGAAGAGAAGAGAAAAGGAAAACUGUCAUAGCUGAAAUGAUCGUAAUUAACUACAAUGGUUUUUUUCCUUAAUAGGAUAAUGUUAAUUCUAGAUGAACAAUUGUUAUGGCCAGGGCAUUGCAGAACCCUCAUGAAUGGGUACAGCGUCCUUUAUAUGUAGUCUUUCCAGCCGUAACAUUUUUAGCUGGAAAUAGCAGUUUCUUUUCUUUAUCCGCAAAGUAAAUUGUUUAAUAAAGAAGAAAAAAAAAAGAUGACGACUGUAAGCAGUGUUGUGUACUGACUAGAUAUGAUCAGGGCAGAGCACAUUGAAUACAUUUACAAGAAAAAUUGUAAGUUUCCUAGCUGAUACAUAAGUUUACAUAGUCAUAUUUAGAAAAUGGCAACAAACCCAGAAUGGCAACAGUACACCUUAAACCCACAAUGGCAACAGUACGCCUUACUUUUUUCUUUCAAAGAACUGAAACCCAAAUUAUAUUUCAAAGCAUAGAUAAUAGUAGAAGAAAGAGCAAAGACCUUGAGAAAAUCACCAGCUUGAAUCAUAAAAUCCUUAAUGACCCUGUGGAACUGGCAUCCCUUGUACCCAACUGGCAAUCCAGCUUUUCUGCCAAUUCACAAAUCCAAUUUUUACAAUAUACACAAACAUAAAAGGUUCAAAAAAAAAAAAAAAAACAAUAGUACGAAAAGAAAAAAAAUAUUAGUGAAAAUGAAGCUCUACCUGUACUCGCCAGUGCAGAACUGCCUGAAACAAGUUAAAAAAGACACAAAAGAACUCAAUUAGGAAUGAAACGACGGCAAAAAGUGGAUCACAAAAGAGAGUAACAAUAAAGCAGAACGAGAGUGGCAAUGCCUGAAAUUUUCGGCGGUUUUAGGGGCAAUAUCAGCGAAAAGCUCCAUCUUGAUUCGACCAGCGGGAAUGGUACCGAUGGUAAUGUCGAAGAAGACGACUGGGUUCUUAGGGUUCGGAGGCCGCACGUGCCACUCCACUCCUCCUCCUCCUCCUCCUCCUGCGUUCCCUCCACUUGAUGCCAUUGAAUUGAUACAACAAACGCGCACACACAAAGUCACAGAGAUGAGCUGAGAGAACGCAAACACUGCUGAGUCUGAGAGAUUUUUAUUUUUAUUUUUUGAUAAAGAGUCUGAGAGAAUUAUUUCACUUCGCUGUAAGUAAGCUUAAGCUAGGUUUUAUCUUGGGUUUUAGUUUAGCAGGGAUGACUCAGAAAUCGGACGCAGCCGUUUUCAAUUCCAGUUGGGCAAGCCCAAUGGUGGGCUCUAACUAUGCUCGAAAUAUGGGGGAUGAAGGCCCAUUUAGAGCUUCAGUAGAAUCUUUUGGGUUGUAAAAAUAUCUAGCUCUCAAUGGUGAGCUCUAUACUCGGAGCUCUAUAUUCCAGGCUUUAUAUUUUUCAGACAAAAUUGUAGCAAUGAUCUCUGGACUAAGACCAAACUUUAUUUUUUCAUCUCUUAUAUUGUUAAAUUAUUACGGUGAUAUUUUAAUUAUGCGUCCACUUUUAGAAAUCGUCAUUUCUGUCAUCUCAAUCAACUUUUCCGUUAAUAAUGAUGAUGUGGCAUGGAUAAGUCCUACUUGGCAUGGGCAAAAAUGUCUUUUCACAUAAUUUUUUAAAAAAAAAUCUCCUCUCUCUCUCUAAUCCUUCAGACCUAUUCACAAAACACAAGAUCAAGAUCAAAACCACCUUUUUUUUUUUUUGAAUUCAAAGUAAUUUGAUGGAAUGGUUAUCACCUUGAGCCAAGCGUGAAGAAUGGACGACCAAUGCUGCAUUUUCUAUGACUCGGUGGAGACUAGGAACGUUUAAGACAUGCACGGCUUUGAGAGCCAUUUGCCAAAUUUGCAAACUUGCAAAAUUGCAAGCAAGCUUUGGAAUUCAAGAAAUGAGGACGCUAAGAAAAUUGGCACUUGCUCCAGGCACACAGAACCCAUCCAUCCCUGCGAUUUUCUUCUCUCUCUCUCUCUCUCUCUCUCUCUCUCUUUCUCCCGACCCCCCCCCCAAUCCACCCAGAUUUCUUCUCCACAUAACCAAUUUCUUCCUCCCCACUCCCCAUUCGGCGAUUUCUCACCUAAAUUUCUUCCUACACUUCUCUGUUUUGAUUAGAUUUGGGGUGAAGGAUGGGGGCUGGGGUUCUGGGUUCGUGGGUGCUAGGGUAGAGGGUGGUAUGGGAUAGGAUUGAGGGUUGGAGCUUGCAGGUGGUAGUCAUGAAGGAAUGGGGGAAGAAGAAAUCAUCGGGGGUGAGAGAUAUAUAUAUAUAUAUAUAUUUUUUUUAUGAAUUUGUCAAUUUGUCCUUAAUUUUGGUAAAAAAAAAUUAACUAAGUUGAUGGAAAGACCAAUGAUGCAACACGAGAGCUAAUUGAAAUAUCACCGUAACAAUUUAGCGACAUGUGGGGCUAAAAAUAAAGUUACGUCUCAGUUUAGGGACCAUUGCCACAAUUUUACCUAUAUUUUUAUGAUGUAAUUUAGUUUACGUGCUAAAUUUUUUUGUUAUGUACCUAUUUUGUGCUAAGGUAUGUUUGAGUUAUAUUAUUUUUUUUAAGAAACAUUUCAACUAAAAAAAAUAAAAAUUUGGACAAGAUUUUGAAAAUAAAAAUUUAUUUCAUAUUGAGAUGAAACAUACGGUUUUGAUCGAAUGUCAGAUAAUAAUGGAUGUAGAUGGAUGCAACUCCUCAUCUUUAUGACUUUCAUCCUAAUAAGUCCAUAUUUUACAUAUAUUUUAUGCCUCAUUUAAUUAUUUAUUUAUCGAUUUUCUUGAAUUAAAUUGUUGGAUUUAAUGUAUUUUGUGAGAAUUUUGUAGUUGAUCCCUAAUUAGAUGAAUUGGACGAAAAUAUGUCAAAUUGGACUCAAAACCUGUUGGGAUGUGUGGCAAGAAUUAAUUGGAGACAAAGAAGAUGUUUCUUAGAAGCCAAGCAACUGGUCAAAGCUUAAAGGAGGAAGUUUGGUUAAAUCCUUGUGGAAUUUGGAGAAGAAAUCAAAGAGAUAUUGGAAAACCUAUUUUUGGUAGUAUUUGAUUGUAAAUAGGGUUAGGGAUUUGUAUAUUAUAAAUAGUAGGGGUGGCAUUUUAAACCGAAAAACCGAAAAACCGCAAAAACCAACCGAUAUUUUACCGCAAUAAAACCGGUAAACCGAACCGCAAUCGCGGUAUUAAGAACCGAACCGCAUUUACAGUUGCGGUUGCGGUAUUUGAUUUUCAAAAUUUGCGGUUACCGCAAACCGCAAAGUAUAGCCGCACGGCUAUACUCUAUGAAUAAUUAAGUAAAAUUGUAAACCCUUCUCUUCUCUUGAAUUGGUGGAAAGGGAACCAAACAAGAUAUCCUAUUCUUUCACAAGUUGCCAAGGAUAUCUUUGCAAUUCCAAGUUCUACGGUUGCUAGUGAAAAUGCUUUUAGCCUAGGCAAGAGGAUUGUGGAUCCUUUUAGAAGCUCUUUGCAUCCUAAAAUGGUAGAGGCAUUAGUGUGACUAGUGAUUGGCUUAGAGCAGACGAAUUUUCCUUUUAUAAGGAACCAACAGAUGAUGAGGUUGAAUUCUACAAGGAAAUGGAAGAUAUGACAACUUGUAAGUAAUUAGUUUAUUUAUGCUAAUAUUAUUUAUGCUUCUUCUUAUAAUAAAAUGUAUUAAACUAUGUUGUUUUAUUUGUAGAUAGCAUUGGUGCUCAAACAACACAAAGGGGUUCUUCAAAUCCACUCACCACCAACACUUGAGUUUGUAACAUUGGUGUAUUGCAUUUUUCCUUUUAGUUUGUAACUUUAAUUAACUGUGAAUUGGAUUUUUCUUUUUGAUUGUAACUUUAAUUCAUUUUGCUUUUGGUUUGUAAAUUUAAAGGAUUUGGAAUUGGAAUGCUUGAGAAGUUUAACUUUAAUUGGAAUGUUUGGAAUUGUAACUUUAAUUUUCUUAGGUUGUGAAUGCUUGAGAAUUGGAAUCGAUUGUGAAUUUAUAUAUGCUUGAGAAAUUGAGGUUGUGUAUUUAUUUAUUUAGGUUGUAAAUUUAUAUUUUUGUGAAUGCUUGAGAAUUUGCAGUUUUAAACCGCAAAUUCGAGGUAACCGACCGCAUUUUUGCGGUUUACCGCAAUGCGGUAAACCGCAAAACGCGGUCGGUUUGUGGUUUCAAAAAUCACCAAACCGCAAAUAGUCGGUCGGUUUGCGGUUUGAGUAAAAAUUCGCAGUUACCGAACCGCAACCACCCCUAAUAAAUAGCAUAGUGCUAGCCUCGUAGAGAGUAUCCAUACUUUUCACUACCCGAAAAUACCCAAUUCUUGGGAUGAGAAGUCAUGAUGCCGCUGGUAUGAUUCUCCAAUUGCACUUCAAUGGCUACAUUUCAAAGGGGCUGCUUUCCAUAUGUAUUUUUUUUCAAACCUAAAGGCUAGACAUCAACGGAUGAUAAUAAAAUUAGGCUGGAUAAACGGGAAAAAAAUAAUUCAACUACUAAAAUUUAAAUCCAAAGGUAAAAAUAAGUAAAUAUAUUAUUCUAAGUUGGUUGCAACCUCAGAACAUAUCCUAAACUCUAUAAAUACCCAUCAAUUUGUUAAUAAAAUUAUGUUUGUGAAAUUUCAAAAUUUUUACGUCAAACUGUUCAAAAAAAUAAAUCACGGAUUUAAUGCAAAAAUUAACUUAAAAAAAAAGGAUUAUAUCAUUCUUUAACAAUUUAAUGAAGUUGUGGACUCAAAUUAUGAGUUUGCAAGGUUGGAGAAAAAAACAGUUUGAGUCUUGAAAGUACAUAAAUAGUUGUAUUUUUUAUGGUGAAAUUUGGUGUUUUGAGUCCUCUAGGGUUGGAGAUGACCUAAUAAUUUUAUCAUCUAAUCAAGUCAUUGUGCUUCAAGUGAAGAACUGGCUCAUAUUAGUCUUUUUUAAUGCCCUUGUAUGAUUUAAAAACUUCAAUAUUCUACUUUUAUAUGCAAGUUCGAAGAGGUUCCCUAUAUAUAUAUAUAUAUAUAUAUAUAUAUAUAUAUAUUUUGUUAUCAAAAUUAAUUUUAAUAAACUCAUCCAUAGCUUAGGGUUGGGGGAGAUGGUGAUCUUCGGGGCUCUUCUUGCCUGAUAAUGGAGAUCCUUGCCAUUAGACAAGCUCCGAGUGCGUAUGUCCAACUUCAACUCACAGAUGCGAUGGUUGAAUCUAAUGCCCAAAGAGGUAUCUCGAUACUCAACGGACAGAUUGCGGUGGAUGCUGACCUUGAAGGGAUUGUCUUCAACAUACAGCUGCUGGUGUCUCAAUUUACACGAAUGACUUUUGUGUUUGCACCUUGACGUUGUAAUCGAGCUGCACAUGCGAUAGUUUGUUUCGUUUCUAGACAGGGAGUUCUCAUGUGUUAGAACUGAAUGGCUCUUUAAUAUUCUUGCAGCCAAUGUUAACCUUUCUAUUCAUUUCUAAUAAAAUCUUCCAGCGACUUUGACAUUAUAUAUUAAAAUAAAAUAAUAAUAUUAAAAUAAAAUAAAACAGCUUUGGUUUUCCAUUUUUGUAGUGAAAAACGAAAAAAAAAUCCAUACAAAAAUGUUACCCACUUCAUAUUUCUAGCAUUCUCUGGACCGCUUUGAAUUUCAAAUAUUUCUGAAACACUGCAAUAUAUCAAUUCCCCAAUUAAUCCAAUUUAUUAAGUUUCAACAAUAUAAUUAAUCUACUUAUAACAUAAUAAUUAAAGAGAACCAUGAAACUCAAUCAAGAUUGACUUGAAGAAAAUCUUAAAACUGUAUCUGGUGCAGGAGAAAGCAAGAGACAGAAAGGGAGGCAGAGAAGGGCACAAGCAAAAUGGGUACAUUAAAAAGAAUGGAUAAACAUAAAUACAACAUUCGAUUGCCUUUCACUUGAAAUAACUGAAAUGACACACAUAAACAUCACAUUCUAGCUGAAUACAAAUUUUACUGCUUUACAUUUCCAGAGGACUUGUGAAUAGCUAAGGUAAUCCCUAAGCUGUAGACUUUGGUAUCUUGUACUGCUUCUUAAGGAAAAGAGAGGCCUCCGAAUCAGCUCUGUGACAUAGGAUUCUCACAAGAGUCUUAGAAUCAGCCCCUAGUUUGCUUCUACAACCCUGCACGCCCAGGCCACUGGAAGACUUCAAGUCCUCGAUCAGUUCUCGAGUCUGAGAACAGAAAAAAGUAGAAAGAAAAAGUACCAUAAAUUUAAGUCGACAAGAUCGUUGACAUUAACACAAUCAAACAUUGAAUUCUGCAAGCUCAAAAUUUAAGCAGUCAGAAACUUUGCUAUCUUUUACCUUGGUGUAUUGUGUGCUUAUGUGUGCAUGUGCACGUGUGUGAGCCACAGUAAUAAGAUGGAAACCAUCUUAUUAGCUCCUUCAUCUGGGUUGGAGUAUUUGCAUACAUUGUAUUAUCCUUUUUCUGUUGAAUCAAUAAGAAUAUUGUUCGUGUUUGGGUAUAGGGUAAAAUAAGAUGGCUCUCUCUCUCUCUCUCUCUCUCUCUCUCUCUCUCUCUCUCUCUCUCUCUCUCUCUCUCUCAACAAACUAACUUGUUGAAAUCACAGCAAGAGGAAUGCCAAAAAUAAAUAAAAAAGAAUCAGAACAUGACGACUGUCCAGAUGUACAUUUUGCAUUUUAAUGAAACUCUCAUUGAUAGUGAAAUACGAUAAUGCCUUAAAUAACCUGAUUCACUUGUAAAGUCUCAACCAGAGAAAAAGAUGGACUAACCUCAUAGCUGUGCAACUUUAUUACAUCUCGAACACGUGCUACCUGAUUUUCGACAACUCCUCUUGGAAGCCCAUCUCCUCCAGAGAUAAAAAACUCCUGUUAAUCACAACCACAAUGACACAAAGUAAGUGCAAGUUUGGUUUACAAAUUCGAAACUCCACGAAAUGCUGUGUCAUACGAAGUAGACAAUUCUUCUUGUGAAGCAAUUUAAAUGAACAAAUUCACCCGUUUAUGUCUUCUUUUGCCAGAUUAAGUUCAACCAACUUCCAAAUGCCUACUUGUAAGUACAUUCCUUCUUUCCAACGCUAAGGGCCCUUUUGAUAACCAUUUUAAUUUUAGUUUUUAGUUUUCAUUUUUCAUUUUUCAUUUUUUGUGCUAGAGAAUAGAGGAAAAAGAGGAAUGGAAGUGAGAAUGAGAGGGGAGGAUGGGAGGGAGGAGUUAUAAAUGUGAAAACAAGAACUAAAAACUGAAAUCUAUUUGAAAUUGUUUUCACUUUCAAGUUUUUGUUUUCACUUUUGUUACUCCUCCCUCCCAUCCUCCCCUCUCAUCUCAUUCUCACUCUCGUUUUCCUUUAUACUCUAGCACAAAAAAUGAAAACAAAAAACUAAAAUUGAAAUGGUUAUCAAAUGGGCCCUAAAUGGAACAAGUGUAAAUUUGUGGGAAAAGAUGAUAUGCAACUUUGUUGGAUUACCUAUCUGGAUUCAAAACAAAUUCUCUCUUUUUGCUCAGAUAUAAAAAUAAUUAUUGGCCUAUAUUUUAACAGUCAACUUUAAAGUAUGGUGAUAAACCCGGAAAAAAAAGAAAAAAAAAAAGAAAAGAGAAAAGAUUCCAUGGUAUCAAAGAAGCAAACCCAAGUACAAAUCCCAAUAAUGACAACCACCAAAUAUAGGUACUCUCAUAUGUUGGAGUCCUCUAAUGGUGAGGUGAUGUCCACAUGUGAGGAGUGUUAGGAGCUAAAAUAACUGUUCACCCACAUGUGAGGAGUAUACACCAACAAAAAUUGACCACUUGCAAUAUUCAAAGGGCACAAAGCAGGUACCUUGAGGACCUCCAAAUCUUCUUCUAAUAGCUUUGCAUCGCCCAAAGAGAAAAUUCGUGAUGGGCCUCCAUCUAAUACAACACGGAGUAAACCAUCCUGGAUAAAAAAUAAAAUAAAAUAAAAUUCCAGUGAAAUAAAAAUUACAGUAAAUUUGACAGAUAUGUGGAAAGAAGCAAAGGGCGAGGAAUAGACCAGCGUUGCUUGAAGGAGACUUGUCACGAUGCGAUCCCUUAGUGGUUCCACAAUUAUAGCACACAGUUGACUAAGUUCCUGCAGUAGUUCAUAAUGACAGGCAGCCCUUUGUCUUCAAUAUCAAUACAAUUUUAAGAAACAAAUACAAAUUAAAAAAUGACAUGGAUACAUGGAAAUUAAUAACUGAAGAAGAAACACGUAAUAGGUGGAUAGAGAAAUCAGACAGAACACUCCAUUUGUCGUUCUUCUGAAACAUAAACAAUAUGUCUAAACAAGUGCUAAAAAUUAUUCAACUCUACCAAGAUGAAUAGAGGUAAGUCAAAAUUGACCGUACGUAGCAUCCAAUUUUGAUGCCUUUUGAGCAUGAAUCCAACAUAAAAGUCAUAUCAGGUUGAUGUGCCAGAUCCUAACUACCAACUACCAUCUGAACCUAUUAGUCAAGUUGAUGUAUCUUUCUACUUCAUGAGAUGUAACUCAAACUCCCAGGACCCUUGUUUAAUGGCUAAACUUGUGCUAGCACUAUCCACAUGACAACACAAUUAGGAGUGAAAGUAUACGCAACUUAAAAGGUUGAUCAAGAAGAGGUACAAUUCAUAACAUGUAGAAUACAGAUUAUAUGCAACGUGAGGGCAAUAAAUAUAGAAUAAUUUGGUUUCUUUCUAUUGUGCAAGGAAAUAGAGGCUAAAGGCAGAUGAGAUAUUGACAGAUCAGUCAUUUUCGAGCUUAAGCAGCUUUAACUACCACCAAAAAUAGAAUGUAGCUUCCAAAUGGAAUAAAUCUGACCGUAUCAAGUGGUUCAUAGACUGCUUCGAACCUAGAAAGAGAAACACUUGGUUUAUAUAAGUUGUUAAUAAAUGGUUCCCUCAAGUCCCAGAAGAUAAUCUUAGUUCCUGCAAUAAACAGUUGGUAAAUUAAUAAAUGGUCUAGUAUGUCAAGGAAUUUGACAUCAUCUAAAAACACAAAUCUUGUACCAGUGAACUCGCAAAUUUGAUCUAUAGCAGCAUUUAUAUCUUUUCUACUCCCAUCAAACGUGUCCUUCUGGGUGAAACUUUUUGACUUCUCAUCUAAGGAUUUCUCUACAAACAAAAGGUCAAUAUAAGCACUGAAAAGAUUGCAAACAAAUGAUGUUAAUAUGCGUUCCUCAACCUAAAUUCCUGUAAAUGGAAAGAUUGCAAACAAAUAUAAAGUUAGAAAACCACUUUUCUGCACUUACUGGUAAACUUUUGGCUGGGCUUCUUCCUCGUCCAUCGCUCCCACAUGCUAUCUUCCAACUUAUUCAGCUGACUGAUUGCAUACUGUGAAUAGCACAAAAGUAUACCAGAUUUUUCACUAAUCUUAUUGGCCAAUCAAAUUCCUAUUAGAAAAAAGUACAUGGCAACCAAACAAAUUUAUAUCUAAAAGAUAUGGUGAAAAGAAACCGGAGGACCAUCAAAUGUAGAUGCAACUAAAGAUCUUUAGCAAAUAAUUAUAACAGUGUCAUCAUUUUCUUAUGAAACUUAGGUCUCAUUAAUAUCCAUAUUUUCACUUUCUUAUGAUUCUUAUAAAAGAAUCACGUGCAUAUAACCCAUCAUUUUCUCACCCAGGACACGUACAAUACCGGAACAAAAACAUUAUAAGAUCACAAGCACCUAGAAGAACUCAUCCGGCCAAUUCAAAUUAGGAGUACCAAGGCUUAGUUGAGUUUAGCAUUAAAACAUCAUUAUGAAAAUAUUUCCUCCCUUCAUAAUGAAAACAAGAAGCUGAACCUGAACUUACAUAAAGUGUAUUUAACUGAACACAAAGCGUUGGAGUCGUUCGAACACUAAUUUCAGUAGACCUUCUCUCAUCAGGCAGCCUAGGGUCAAAUAGUUCCUUCUUUACAAAAGCCUUUAUUCCAACUUCCUUCUUGUAUCUUGUAAGAAUGGGCACAGGUGGAAUUAAAUCUUCCUUGGUAGCUGCAUGACCAAAAUCCCAAUGUAAGGUCUGUGUGGAUACAAUAAGGGUAGAUAACAAGGAAAAAAAAAAAAAAAAGGUUAAAAUCAUUUGUAUGGCAUGUAGAGAAGAAUGAAAAAUCUUGUUAGCUUGAUAUACAUUGUUUAACAUUAUGGGGUAUUGGUAAGCUAACUUGGUAGCAAGGCCUUGGUUGUAGGAGAUCCUGGGUUGAAACCUCAAAACCACAUUUCUCAAUUCUUUGUUGGUUUGCAAGGUGUAGGUUGGGGCAGCACCUAUUGGCAUGCAUUUCUCUCUCACCACGUGCAGGAUGGGGCUGCACGUGAAGGAGGGUUCAGUUUGAUAUACAGUGUUGACCCAUUCCUUCACAGCUUAAGCUUUUGGGGUCCAAGGGAAAUCUAACAAAUCUAACAAUGUAAUAAGAAAACAAAUAAAGAAACAAUUUUGUUUUCUUUUUGGGCACAAAAUAAGUAUUCAUCAUUCAUGAACCUAUUUAUAACUAGAAGUUCCUGAGUUCAAAGAAAUAAAAGCAGAAAAGAACAUUUACGCAAAUAAGUGCUACACUAAUAUCCAUCAAUAAAAUUAUGUAAAGGUCAGUUCUCUAGAAGGCCAUAUAAACAACUGUUGCCCAAGGAAUACGUACGAGAGUAGGGUAAAGGAAACAUAACUUGUGAUCAUAUAAUUUUAAAUGACCCUCACGAAGUUUUCCACAAUUGUGAUAACACAUGUAUGUCAUGUCAGUCAAUUCAGAAUUGUACAACUCACAAGUAGCACAUACCCAACUUGUCAAUGACAUGAUUUGCGAACACUUGAAAAGCAUUGUCAACUCCGCGAAACAAACCACUCAAUUCUGUAGGCCUCAUUGGAACCUUGAGAUCAAAAAAUUGGUCGACAGUCUGCAUGAAGAAAUGUUUAUAAGGAAACACAUCAGCAACGUUGGUCAGUGGCAAGAGCAAAUAAUAGAUUUGAAGGCCAAACCAUACAAGUAUAUCCAGAAUUGUAAGAUUCCAAAUGAAACCACUGACAAAUUCUAGAAUUGAAGUACAGAUACUUGACGAUGCAUUUAAUAGUCCACUUCCUUUAAAACCAACCUCCAAUAAAAGUUCCACAUUAUAUCCAAUUCAAUUUAUUUUUCAUUUCAUAAAGACAUCCUUUCUUGAUGAAUAACACAAUUAUUUGACUGCUAUUGAUUGUACUAUAGAUGAGGACUCCUUGUCCAUUGCAUGCACUUUUUGAGUUUUUAUUUUUAAAAAAGUACAUUUCGGUUAAAAAAAUAACACAAUCAUUUGAAACCCAGAAAUGAAAGCAUUUCAAAGAUAGCAAUGGCAACGAUACAAUUAUUUGAGAAGAUGCAGACUUUUGGAAACAUAUAACAAACUUAUUUAUCACCAAUUAUAAGUGUGUGACCCAUAUUGUCAAUUAUGUGUGCAUUUCUAUUAUGAAUACUGAUCACUGUUUUUUUUCAUUAUGAAAGAUAUCCAAAAACUACUUUAUAGCUUAUACAAUACCAUAUGCAAAACCCAAAAAGAACAAACAGUCAUACCUCCUCCACAAUCCUAAAAACUUCAACUAUUGAACUCCCAUGCCGCUGUUGAGGUGAUAUUGGGUCCCACCUCUGUAACAUGAUGCACACGAACAUUCAGCAACUUACGAGAUGAAAAAAGAAGCCACAUAUAUUGUUACAAAAAAUGAAGAUGAGAAAAGUUUCCAUAAAUUAUAACAAAAACUAACCUACAUGCAAAUGGUGAUAAAACGGCUUUCCCUAAAUUGUUAUGAAAAUUAAACAAAGGACAAAAUGGAACUAGAAUAAUUAUGUCUGAAGAGGCAGGACAGCCAGACGUUCCUACAAAUACCCAAUUACUGAAUCAGCCCCAUGUGUUCAAAGUAUUAACGAGUCUAUGACAACCCGAAUUACUGAAUGGCAUAAUGAGUAGCAGACUUGGCCGUUGAUAGACAAAACUUACAAUUUUACAUGAGAUCAUGGAUGAUGGAUUUGAGUAAUACAAUCAUAAGAAAUAACUGGAUGCUUCACAUAUACUACCUUCCUCUCAUUAUCCACACUGAUAGAAAGAAUAGAUAGAAGUAUUAUCUCUUUUAUAAAACCCUUCCACAGAAUAUUACACAAGUAUUACUAACAACAGUUUAGAGGCAGGGGCCUCUCCCCUAUUUUAUUUGUCACCAUGACUCCUCAAUAUAACCUACCUCAAAGCUACCAACUUCCUGGUACCCAACGCCACCACUAAUUAGGUGAGAAAACAUCAUUCCAACAAUAGUUUUAGAAGGAAGUUGAGGUUCCACCCCAAAACCAAUUGGCAAUGGCGGGAGUAACCCUACUCCUUGUAAACUCAGCUAGGUCCCUUAACUUUUCAAUGUGGGACAAACACUCUCAACACGCCCCCGCACAUGCGGUGAACUUUCAGGCCUUACACAUGAACAACACAUAUUGGGUGACAUGAAAGCACGUGUGGCCGUUGGGCUCAACACGUGAAGCCUUGCUCUAAUACCAUGAGGGGAGUUGAGGUUCCACUCGAAAACCAAUUGGCCAAGGGAAGAGUAGCCCAACUCCUUAUAAGCCCUUGCUAGGUUUCUCAACUUUCCAAUGUGGGACAAUUCACUUUCACAUUCUCACACGCCUCUACACGUGUGGCCGUUGGGCUUUCACACAUGGGCAACCCACUCUGAUACCACGAAGGAAGUUGAGGUUCCACCCCGAAACCAAUUGGCAAUGGGAGGAGUAGCCCAACUCCCUUAAUUUCAAUGUGGGACAAACACUCAACAGUUUUAAUCCAUGUGAAAACACAUAGGACACCUUCCUUCUGACUGGAUUACCAGAAGUUACCAAUCUAGAGUAUAUCAAACAAGUACAACAAUUUCUGAAGAAAGACAUAAAAUACCAGUCAAUACCAUGUUCACCCCUAAGUCUCAAACAGGUAGCAUAAAAACAAAAAUGUGCUUGCUUCCUUUCUUUUUAUUGCUUUUAUGGCUUGUGCUUUCAAGAUGAGAGCAAUAAAAAGUAAACUAACAUAAGAAAUUAAAACAUUAAAAAAAAAAGAAAAAAAAAGGAUAAACUUUAAAUUUUACCUCUUGUUGAACAGCCCGUUCAACCCAACCUAAGAUCCUUCCAAGUUGCGAAUUGACCCAACGCAUCACCAAUGUUCCAGAUAUGGAUCCAAUCUAAGAAGAUAUAAGAAGUUCAAUAAAAUGAAAAUAAGAAGCAAUGGAGCAUAUUGGUAAACAGUAAACCUGACAUAUUGUUUGCAACUAUCUAACUUUUCAGCUUUAGCUUAGCAGAACCAAGUCUUUUUCCAAUUGUGCAUAUCCAUGACUUUACACUAUUAGAAGACAAGUUUACAUUAAAACUUUUCAGCUUUAGCUUAGCGGAACCAAGUAUAUUUCAAAUUGUGCAUAUCCAUGACUUUACACUAUUAGAAGACAAGUUUACAUUAAAAAAGAAAAAGGAAAAAAAGGAGAUAUGUAAUGUAGAAAAAAAUCCAACUUUCACCUGGUAUGGAGCUAGUUUCCUACAGUAUAUAUCUGCAGUUUCCUCUCCAGAAUUGGACGUAAUAAGUUCCAUAAUGUACUGCUCAAGGUUAUCAGCUGCUGGAAAUACAGAUAUUACAUCCUCGGUCAGAUGUUCAGCCACACCGAGAAAAGGUUUCUGAAAUAACACAUUAGCAUUAAGUUCUCCACUUCCACCCUAAAAAACUACUGUAUCGUGGAAAAAAUGUAGAUAAAUGUAAUUCUCAUUAUUGAAAAAAAGGGAGGGAGCAUAUAAGCUCACCAACUUGUUGCCAUAAAGCCUAUGAAGGAGUGAGGCUGAGACAGAAGUUGCUUGUGGAUGCCUCUGGGAUAAAAUUGGCAUGAACAUGGUUGUAUCCUUUUUUAAGAGUUUCUUGGUCUCUUCAGCAAGCAAUGCCAAAGGAUGUUCAUGCUUUGAGUCUGAUUUUUCAACAGACUGUAAGAUCUGUACAACAAGAAAAUACAUUUUUAAAAUUUAAAAAUUCAAAUCCAUUAUUCAGCCGUCUUAAAUGGAAACUUUAAUCGUAUCAAUGGUAUCUGUUUAUGUAAGUGUGUGUGUGUGUGUGUGUGUGUGUGUGUGUGUGUACACGAGUUCUGUGGAGAGUGACCACUGAAUAAAUUGUGUACCGAACUCUAGUCUGAACAAUUUACCACUCGGUGUCUUCUCGAUUUUGAAGCUUGCUAGUUACUAGUAAGCCUAGCUUGACAUCACUGCACCUUUGUCUUUGACUAGGGUCCCAACACAAUAUUUAUAAGAUCAGUGUUUUAUUGACUAUUCAGGGGAAGCGUGUGUUAGAGCUGUAGAUCUUUCUCUAGUUAGUGCUUUAUUAACAUUAAUGUAUUAUUGUAUUUUACAUUCAUGCUUAAAUUCUGCAGCACAAGAGCCCAUAGAGAUCACCAAAAUCUGACCCUUCCCCAAAGAUGAUGAUAAACAAUUAGGGACAAAGUUUCUGGUCAACUACUACAACUUUAUGUACAUGAUAGAGCCUAAAAAUAAUUCCUAUACAGCCAAGUUUUGAUCAAUUUUGUUAGUUACCUACUACUUUCAAAAGUUUAACAUGUUAGAAUGCGGGCUUGAAUUUCCUCAUGACUGUGGUCUAACAUAUACACAACACUGUACUCCUGUUCUAAUACCAUGACAAAUAUUUUUGGUCUACUAAUGUUCCAAAAGCUUAAGUAUGGGCCAAGUAUUGUAUUUUUCCUAACACCUCCCUUCCCAGAGGAGAAGUCCAUUGCCUAAUUUUCCUAUAUUAAAUUUUGCUUAAUUGAAAUAGUAAGACUCACUAAUAUAUUGUGUGUCAAAAAUCUUAUAAAAAAAUCACUGAAACACUUACCCUUGUAAAUGCAUUCUUAAUAGAAGAUAAUAUGUAUGAUUCUAUCUGAUCUCGAUCUGUGUUGGAUGUAUAUUGCAUCAUUGCCUGUGGAACAAAUAAAAGAAAUCAUCUUUAAACCUUUUACAAUUUGACAACACAUUCAAAUAUUUGUUAUUUAAAAAAAAAUCCAGAUACUGGAGUUGGCAAAAAAUAAGGGUUCGUCACAAGAAAGAAUAACUUAGAAAAGUUGGAAAGUUAUACUAGUUGUUUUCCACAAGUCAAGAACCAUGCUUGGCUCCUCACCGCUGAGAUGUCGCCAAUUCAUACCAAUGAAUUGGUGAAAGUGGUGAGUCCCCCCAUUCACCUGACACCUUAGCAGUGAGAAGAAAAGUUUUUCCUCACUGAUGAAGAACCAUGCAUUAUUCUCUAAUAUUAGUCAAGCACAAAGUUUCUUUUGAGUCUACACAUACUGCUUCAGGUUCCUCCAAUAGAAGCCUUUGAGCAAUCAUUGCAACAGCUACUAUAUUCUCCAUCAUAACUGGCACCUACAAGGUACAUGAGAAGUUUAAGACAACUGAGUUGCAACCAGGAAGGUCCCUUGGUAAAAGUGACUAAAAUUGGCAUAAUUUUUUAAUUAGCUGAAUCAGCUGGAGCCCAGAGUGGUGUCAUGAAGAUGCAACAUUAACAAGUACGAGAAGUGAAAAAAGCUGCAUAGCAUCAAUACACAAGGAUAUAAUAAAACAGAAAGAUCAUGCAAGCAAAUGGGCACAAGACCUAUGAUAGUUAUUUCCAUGGUAGUAUAAAAACAAACAUAUACAAAUUAAAAAUAAUUGCUUAACAAAGCUAACAUCAGCCUGACAAUAAACCAAAUUAAGAAUGAGGACCACACCCAAGUAUAGCACUUCUAGGACCUUAGCAUACCUCAGAAAAGUGCAGAUGGUAGUCUCCUAACUGCUUAUCGGCCCAUUUCUGAAUGGGCAACAAGAAGGACUGUAAGAAAGAUAAAUCUUGGUGACCCUGAUCGCCUUCAACUCUACAAUGCAAACUCUUCAAGUGUAACCUCUCUUGUGGUCCCCGUUGUUCCUUCAAUGGUAUUUUCUUUAACUGUUCAAUGGCAUGUUUUAAAACUCCUUGCUCACUUGUAAUAACAUGCUGUGAUCACAGAAUCAAUACAAACUGUAAAUGGCGAUGAUACUUAUCAGUAGAAAAAGUUUACUAAUGGAACUGCCAAGAUCAGACAUUCAUGAGAAAAGACAAAAAUAAAACAAAAGAACUAGAAAGAACUAAUCUAGCUGAAAAGAAACUCAAAGAAUUGAACAAAUACAGCAAUUGUUGUAGAAUGGACCAACUCAAAUAAAAUGAGACAGUACAUAAUUGACAUGAUAUCAUGCUGACAAGGAGCCACUCAUGAAAGACAUUCCACUAUCAGUAUCUUUAUACUUGAAACCUCCUAAAAAUAUGCAUGUACGAAUUUUUAUCACUGUAGAGUGUGUGUGUGUGUGUGUGUGUGUGUACAUGUGGCGGGCUUCAAUUUCCAGAGAAAAGAUUUGCCAGUUGAAAAGUAUAAGAUGAAACGUCAAGUUGUUCAAAACCAAAGUCAAUUGAACCAAGCUUUUGAAUACAUCUACCACAUGUUAGAAUCUAUUAUUAGUGUCAUUCAAUGCAACUUCAAUUAUCCAAGAUGCUCUACAUAGAAAUUUUUAAAAUGUUGGAAAAACAUUGAUGUUUCCAAAGAUAUGGAAUGCCUUCAAUAAGAAUGAGAGGUUCAUGGGAUGGGAGAGGAGUACCUCCGAUUGUAUAACUUAUAGGCCUAUAGGCCUCAGACAAAAACAAAAUUAGAAACAACAUCGUACAAAACUCUGGGUUUGUACGUGCGUGCGUGCGUGAGAGAGAGAGAGAGAGAGAGAGAGAGAGAGAGAGAGAGAGAGAGUCCUUUAUGUCUGUUAAGUCCAUAUCUUCCAGUAAUUAUAUGAAAAACAAAUAUCUUUCUUAGAGUACAUAUUAUAAAUGUAACAAUAUAAGACACAAGUCAACCAUACUCUCCAUCACAUAUAAACAAUGACAUUAUAGUUUUCCCAGAAAAGAACAAAAACAUCACUUUAGUGGCUGCAGAACAAUAUGAAAAGUAAAUUACUUUUAUGCCUAUUUUACCUGACGGAAUAAGACCCAUGCAUAGCAGGUGUAAUGCAUGGUCUCCGUGAUUCCUAAAACACGCCACGUUGACUUCACAAGCUCGAGUAUUUCUUCCACUUCCUGAAAAUAAAGAUAAUCUAGAGACUCUGAGAGACAAAGAAAAAAAGCCCAGCUGCUGCUUUCUUUGUAAAUUCAUAUUUGACAACUUGGGGUAUCUACAGCUGGAGCCCGCAUGCAACAAUAGACAACAGUGACUGUUAACGGUUUUGAUGUUUGUGCCCUAAAGAUUCUCAGGUUAAAUCAGUUUUUGACUUCAGCCUUUAAUUAAGAACUGAGUUAUAAACUUUUUUGCCUCACAGGGGUACCUAUGCAGAAAUUUGUAUGUAUUAUUUACCAAUCGUGUUGAGUUCAGGACUUCCUAGGAGCCCUGGGUAUGAAAUAAGUCCGUGUGUUUGAGACGUAGUUCUUUUUCUAACUGGAUACUCUCAUUAUUAUUAGUUUGGCUUAAGAGUAAAUCAGUUGUCGAUAAAAUUUAAUUAUUUUGUGUUUCAGGCAUCUCUCUCUCUAUCUCUCUCUCUCUCUCUCUCGUAUUGUUUAACUUGGUACAACAACCCCUGACUUCUCUCUGUUCUUAUCUCUUCAAGACCUUAAUUCUCUCUCUAUCCCCACAUUCCACAAUAUUUGCCCCCAAAUAAGCAAUCAUAAAAUGAGCAUUCUUCUUAGAUUUCAAUCAAUUUCAGCUAUCAAGAUUCAACCUUUUCACCAGUAAUUUACAACCCCUAAAGCUUUCUUCCUACAUUUCCAAGCCUUAAACCCAUAAUUCUUUCAACCCUAGCGCCCACCACAUAAAACCAAGGUUAAGUUUCCUAAACUACCAUACAUCACUAUGAAGUAAAGCAAAACUACAUUUCAUUUUACAGAAAAAAUUCUGAAAUCUGAGAGCUUUUAAAACAGAAUGGAGAUCCUAACUCCAGAAAACUUUUAAAACCCAACCAAUCAAGCAGAAAGUGACUUGGCAAUGUAAAUGAAUGCAGUUCUUUAGUAGAUUUUGACAGAGCCGUGUUGUCAUGGCCAAGAACCAAAAGUACUAACCUCAGUCAACUUUCCCUCAUCUAACAUAUCAAAGACACUGAGAAGCAGUUUCUCAUACAGUCUAACGUUCAAGUGAUAACCAUCUGCCCAGUGACAUACUUCACCAGUUAAGUCACCACGAGCAGGCCUCUCAGCAAGUGGAGUGGCAAUCUCUCGAAGAGAUCUUAAGCAUUCUGUUCGUUGGAGUUCACCCGUGGAAGGUGGAAGAAACUACAAUCAAAAGAGAAAGGAAAGGGGGCGAAAUGAAAAACAAAACAAAACAAAUAUAAUUAUACCAAAAGCAACAUGCAAAAAAUUGAGAUGGAACCAUGCCGGAAAUGUAGACCAUAUUAAAUAGUACAAAUUUUUUUGAAACCACCAAGUUAUAAAAUAAAUCAUUAUUAUCAAAAAUUAUGGGCCAGAGUUCACAUGGUGGUAAAACAGGAAAUGGGUGCUAAUUUGUUAGUUUACAACAAAAGAACACCUAACGCCCAACUAUAUGCCACAUGAGCCAUAGUUGACGUCGUAAAACAGUGAGUGGGACUGGGUAGCUUUUAGGUCAUUUUCUUCAUUUUCUUUUUUUCUUGUUUACCAAAAACACAGAGAGAGAGAGAGAGAGAGAGAGAGAGAGAGAGAGAGAGAGAGAGAGAGAGAGAGAAGAAAAGUUUAACACCCAAACAAGAUCAGUAGAAUUCUUUUUAACAAGAUAUAAAAAUACAAGAGAAAUGCACAAAAACUCCAUCAUAUUCCACAUUCACCCUCAAAGAAAAACAAAAGUUACACUAAUGUUUAACACCCAACUACCCCUAUUUCUGGUGUUUCCAAAGCAAAUAAAAGGUUUAAGACCCAAAUAUUUCCAUUAUAAUCUUAUAAUUAUAUAAAGUAGAACAAAUGGUUUUCGAGUGUUAGUUAAGAGAAUAAAUGAUUGGGUAAGGGAAAUUUUAAUUGUCUAUUAUUGUGAUAGAGAGCAUUCCAGCCAUUUAGACGAACAGAAGACAUACCUCAGAUUCUUCAAUUUUUGCUAAAAGAAUCCUAAACUCACUCGCCUUCCGUCCAGACUCCCCAAAUCCAACAGCUGGGAAAUUAAGAAGCCCUUCCUCCAACAUAUUCAACUGUGAAAACAAAUCAGAAUUUCUUAAUUUGGAUCUCAUGUGCAUAUAUGGUCACCCCUCCAAUUUCACCAAAUAGGAAAUUUACAAGGCCAAUAAAACGUAUCAAGACAAAAUGAUAGAUUGUAAGGAACAGAACUUACCUGCCUUUUCUGCCACCGUAUAUACGCCUUCUUGUCAGAAAAUUCUGUUCGUGAAAUACAACAGAGAAGUUCCAGAGGAACCAGUAGGGCAUCCAUUCUUUUUCCCACUUUUCCAGCUAGGGCAUUAAGCAGCCCUUGUCUAGUUCUGAUGUCCAUGGCCUCAGAUAUCUGCAUUUACGAGUAUGGGAAAAGAAAUCAUUAAAUCAAUAUGAAUCCAACGAAACACAGUUCACCGAAACUGCAUAAAAAAUCAUAUUUGAAGACAGCAAUGAUUUCAGAACCCCUCUGGCUGAUGCCACGUCAAUUACAAACCAAUAAUGAGGUACAGAAAGGGUCACAAUAAGAUGAAUACAUUCAGUGGGGACCCGAACAAGGAAAGAAACAACUGACCCACUUAUAAAACUUUACCGUGCAUAGCAGCUUGAAGUGACAGCUAGUAAUGCAUACAAAAUAAACAUAUGCAUGUACCAAAUCUUGUAUUGCUGGGCUACAAUAAAGAAAAAUUAUGCAACAGUACAUGACUCGGAACUAGCACAACCAGAUGAUUGUUUACAAUAUGGUCCAUUCUCCAGUGAACUAAUAAGCUUAUACAUGACGCUCAGUCUUUUAGUCUUAGUAAUUAACCAUCCGGUUUCAAAAGAAAAACAUGCCAUGCAGUCCUCCUUUGUGCUCGCAUAGUUCUUAAGUAUUCUACCAUAUGGGCUCAUUUAGUAUGCUGGACUGAACCUCUACUAUUUCAAUUUGAUUGUAAUGUACUUCUUUCUAUUGUAUUAACCUUACUACUAGCAUGGGUUUGGUACUGUCAGGACUAAGACGCCGGAUAAUCUGUAUGGUGUUAUGUAUUGUACUGUAUAAGGGAACCAACAGAACUAAACAAUGAUUAAAUAAUUUCUAAAAAUAAUCUUAUUUAGGAAGCUUAAAAAUGCCGUCAUAUUUGUAACUAUCAUUUAUAAAUAUCAUUCAUCUCCAAUGCUUAUCAAACACUGCUUAUUUGAAAGUUUUACAAACUACUCCUCAAGAUCAAUACACCCAUUCGGGAUGAUGGAGGAGUUCCAACCCCUCUGUCUUCCAUUUUUAAUAACACAAAUUAAUUGAACAUUAAUGGCAUGUUACUUUAAGUCAUAAAUCAGGGAAGUCGAGAAUAGGGGAGAGAAGGAAUGGGUAUGGGAUUAACUAUUCCCCCCUAAUCAAUCUAAUUCAUGGUUUUUCAAUUAUUGGAUUGUAAAUUUUAAUGUAAAACUCACAUAAAUUUUGAUUUCUCAUGUGUUAGUAAACCCAGGGGAAGUCUGGAAUCGGAAUAAUUAGAACACCAUUCCAGGUAAGUAAGCAUGCCAUAAAAGGAGAGGAAAAGGGAGAAGAAAUAGAGUAGUAAUGCCUCCAUUUGAAUAGCAAAUGACUACUAAAUACCUCCAUCUGGACACGCAUGGUCUCCAACAAACCAACCAAUCCAGGUGCUCGUUGAGACUGACUCAAAGGAUUUUCAUUUCUACUACGUCCAAGUUUCCUCAUCAGCUUGGACCUUUUGUCUUUCUUUUUCUCUUUUGACGGCACAAUCAGACCCCUGUUCAGACAGAGAGAGUGUAAGCAUGGAUGGUGUCAUGUCAGAACUAAACUAAGUACACAAAUAGACCUGCAAUCACAACAGCAUUUCCUUGAUUUACAAGAAAACAAAAAAUAUUUGCAGACCCAAUAAGAAAAUGAAAGUAUACCCUGCAGCACCAGCACAUGCUAAAAGGACUUCAUAUGCAGUUUCACGGAGAUCAUCUUCUGUGAUACCUAAACAAGAAAAGGAGGAAAAAAAAUUAUGACAACCACCCUGUGCUUUUUAGUGUCAACUUUCAUCAAUCAUCCUAGGGGCUGGGAAUGCAGUCUUAUAUACUGAUUGCCAAAUGUGUGGAAAAAGCAGACAGAUGCAUCGGUAUAGGAUACCAGUAGGUUACUCUAUACCUCUUUAAUACUUCCUAAUGUGCCAAAUAUUUUAAAAAAAAUGCAUCCAAACAUAAAUAAUAAUUAAAAAUAAAAUCAUGGUCUCGAAUUGGGCAGCUGUUAUAGACUGAAACAUAGCAAAGGGUCAUAUGAGAUAUGUUUUACUCUUUGAGUUAUACAUAAAUUAAGAAUGCUUGUAUGAUGAAUCUACCACACCAUAUGAGUGUAACAAUCUCGGAGAACUUUGAAAAAAAUGUAUGUAAAUAUAUAUACAUUGAUCUACAUGUAUGCGCAUUUAACAUUGUGGCAAUAUUGCAGUCUACUCUUUCCAGAAUAUUUACAUUUCAAUGUAUCCAACAUCCAUAUCCAACCUUCCUUGUGCAAAAGAAACAGACCAUUAAUAUCAAUAUUCAUCAUGAAAAUCUCCAAAACCCAAAAAUAUCUUCAAAUCCAUUAUUCCAUUAAUAUCAUCAGAACCUUACGCAAGAUGUGGUUAAUGAUACAGAAUUUAAAGUGUAAGCUCGGUAGAGGAUAGGGUGUCUAUCUAGAGGUGGGACCAUUGCCCUAACUAUGUUGGUCUUUAAGCAGUAUUCCUUUUUCAUGUCUCUCUUUCGAAUGUCAAGUAGAGUAGCUAAGGUUUUAGAAAAAAAUGAUGUGGGAAAUCCUAUUGAUGCAUAGCUCUGUUUUGCAUUGGUUGUCAAAUCGUCGUCGAGUAGUCUAGCUAGCAACUACCAGCUAGACCACUGGACAACUUGUCCCCUGUUUUGUACUUUUUUCAUUUUAACGAAACUGUGUUUCUUAUCACAAUAUUUAUAUAAAAAAUAGUAUAAUGUAUAUCAUAACCAGUUAGUUUAGAAUUGAAAAGUCAACCAAUGACCAUAAAUUCAAAUCUUACUGUACUACCUGAAUCUGGCACUUCUACUGAAUACAUAGUGUAGUUUUUCAUGGUUAAGUAUAAUGUAGUUUGACUAGAUUUAUAUGGUACACAUAUACGCUGGUAUUGGUUAAGAUAGUAGGAAUGAUGAUAUCAAAGUACACAACUUUUUAUUUGAGAGCUAACUCUCUCUAGAUUUUUUUUUUUUUUCUUUCCUUUCUUGUUCGAUAAGUUGAGGCCAAAAUUUAAUGUAUCCGCACCUACCUCUUUAUCACAUGAGCCCACACCCAAGGGCCAUCAUGUGGGAAGUGUAGGUCAUUAAUUAGACUAGUUUCAUGCAGGGGAAAUUUUACAUAAUUUAGUUUUGAUACAAUUUCAAUGGCUUUAAAAUCUAUUACCUGUCUUAAAAGAAGGCAAUCCAAGCGAAAGAUCAGUAGCAUCGUUUCGAAUCCUUCGUGAAAUCCGGAGACUGUCAGCCUCAUCGAUAUCAUCAUCCUCAAAAUCUUCAAUAUCAUCUACAGUCAGUUCUUGAGCUUGUGUGUAGUUAAAAGAUUCUGACUUUGACACACUUGAUGCAACCGGAGAUGAGUCAAGGUCAGGAAUAGAUGAUAAGACACCAGGAGGUGGAGUUAGAACAGGAGGUGGCACGAAGUCCGGAACAGGUGGUGGUGCCCGUUUUGGAGGAGAACCGGAAAACUCAGGAUUCGUAACCAAAAAGAAUUCACCAGCAGAACCUGUACUAUUCUGGUAAAGUGGAAAAAUGAACAGAAUGGAUAUAAUUUAAGCAAACAAAUUAACAGGAACAAGAGGAAAUGGACCAAAUUACAAAAUAAAAAACAAAACAAAAAGAAAUCAACCAAAACCCAGAAAAGAUGAGCAUAAAUAAUGACCACAGGAGCUGCAGAAGGAAAGACUAUUAAUUGGGAAUUCUAUUUCCUUGAUUGGUCCUAAUUUGGAUCCACAUUAUUAAAAACAAAAGGGGUAAUAACAACACUAAAUCUCCAACGAGAUUUGCACUCCAAAGCUGACAAAAGUUUUCACUAAUCAACAUGAGAAUAAUUCACUAAAUCAUGCCUUAAAUUGCACUUACCAUCUGGGGUAACCCAGUAUGGUCAUGGUAGUCUCUAAUAGCUUCCGAGAGUUCAAGCAUUCCACCUACAGAACAAAAAUGUGUAAAGAAAGAAACCCAACAAAACCAAUAAGUCGAAAUCAACAAUAAACAAACCAGAUAAACCACCUUUCUUAGCACAAUUGAGCACAUAAUCAACACUGACUUGGUCUAGAUCCACAUCAUCUAGGGUAACCGCGCCAGGAGGCAUUAUCACCUUCUUUAUUAAGCUACCGGCAAGUAUAAAAUCCAGAAGUAUUCGCCUGUCCCGGCGAUACCGUUGCAAAAGCUCCACAGCAUUCUUCCUACAUUCCAUUACCAAAUUGAAGUUUUCGUUUUGUUGUUUUAGCAAAGCAAAAUUCUUUCAAAAUAAAAAGCAAGACUUACUCUUCCAUCUGAAAAUUAUUCCAACUCUGCUACCUGACAAAUACCCCAAAACAGGAAAACUCAAGCUUCACAGAGUGGCACAGUUUGCUCUGGGUGGUAAGCAAGAAAAGGGAAGAAAAGAAAAUGAAACUUAAAGCUGGGGCUCCAUUUCUUAGAAGCACAAGAGAAGAUCCGUUUCCGUUUGGCGGCUAUGAUUUCAGAGAAGAAAAUGAAACUGGAGAAUCAGAACAAGCAUGUCCGAAUUGUUUACCUCAGUUUUUCUCAGCAACCAUACAGAGCAUUAAGCUUAAAUGAGUGAGAGAGAGAAUCGCGGGACUCAAAAAUGUAGAGGAGGAAAGCAAGUGAAACGGCGAGUUUUGACCGCUGUUGAGUUGAGUUGGGUUUGGCAGCUUCAAGCGGAAGUCCCGGCAACGGGUUUUGAAAGAGAUAGAGAGAGGAAAUCCCAGUCGAUUUGGAUCUAAAAAGCUAUUUUUAAUUAUUUGUGGAGAAAGUAACUAUUUGGGAAUUUUACUGCUCGGUGGAAAGCUGGACGCACCGCGCCAUGGUGCAAGAAGGAACACGUGACGAAAUUCUAAGGAAGGGACGUGGGUUUCCAAUUCCAAUAGACGAGUUUCUCAAGUCUGAUAAAAGAGGAAUGCUAGAAACCUUCUUUCUAACUUUCUCUUUUAGAUUUUCUUCCUUCUCUUUAUGACAAGUGUCAUUUUCUUUACACUUAAAAUAAUGUCAUUAAUGCAUCACACAAUUUAGUUUUUGUUUUCCUAGUUUACCCUUUUAAAAUGUAUUGGUUUUUAUAUUUUCUUCAAUUUAUUCAAAUUUUGUUAUAACUUCUUUAGCACAUUGUUAAAAAAUAAAUAAUAAAAAAACAUAAGAAAAAGCCAUACUUUUAAAAAAUAAAAAUAAAGUUUGUUUCAUGACAUUGUUAUCAUCUUUAUUUUGUUUUUAACAAAACACGCGUUCUCUUUAGAAAAAUUAAAAAUUUUAAAAACAUCAGUUUUUAUUUUCUUAUUUAAUUUUUAACAAGGUGUUAAGAAAGUUUUUUAAAAAAAAAAAAUUAGCUUGUUAUUUUAAAAAAAUUAAUACAUUAAUAAGGGUAAACUUGGAAAAUAAAAACUAGUUUGUGUGAUACAUUAAUGACAUUGUUUUUAGUGUAACAUGAGAAGAAGGGAAAAUGUCCAAAAGAGAAGGUUAGAGAGAAGGUUGCUAGCACUCCCCCUAAUAAAAUCAUAUUCUUCAAAGUAUUAGAAUACAAUAUAUAUAUAUAGUUUCGAUUUCUUGGAUCAUAAGAGUCCAAGAGAUUGUGGUCACUCACCGUUGGAUAUUAAUCCAAUGGUUCAAAAAAGUUUCUUAAAAAGAGUGCAAUAGUAAGUGAACCGUUCAAUUUACAUCCAAUGAUGAGUGACCACAAAUCUCUGAAACUCCUGUAGUCCAAGAAAUCAGGACUAUAUAUAUAUAUAUAUACGUGAAAGCUUUCGUUUUCUAAACAAAAUCGGAAGGAUUCUUCUUCUAGGGUUUGAAAUCAUGAAUCCAGGUAUGUUUUCCAAACAAACACUAUUUUUUGUAACUAAUGUAUUUAUUUUACCAUCCUCCAAUCUUUAGCAGAAAUUGAAGGAUAUUUUUAUUAUGAUAUUCUGACAGGACCCAACCCAAAUUUCACUUUGGAAUCCAAGCUGAACCCUGUGAGUGUCCAAAACCUGGCUAAUGUUGAGCACAAAGACCAAACUGCCCUUCUAACUAAAAAACCACUUUUAAAAUAAGAUUAUCUUCUGCCCCUGUAAUUUACUCAUUUCCCAAAACCUCCACCUGUCAUCAAACAGUUAUAUAACUCAAUCGUUCAGCAUGCAUUCAAUUAAAUCCAAACAAAUUAAGCAUCAUAAUAUCCUGAUCCCAAAUCGCAAUAAAUCAAAUAAAUCAAUCUGUCAAUAAAAUUCAUCUCAAUUUUCAGAACAACAAUACUGCAUUGGUAAUCUUAAACAUUCUAACUCAUGGUUGCACCUUGUAACAAUAGGCUGCCUACGUACCCUUACUGAGGGAUCAAGCCACAAGUAGUUCUUUAUUUGCAAAACCACUCUAGAUCUCAUAUUUCAUCUCAGCUUUCUAUUUCAAACUUCCUGGCAUUUCUCACAUAGCAAUAUAUAAUCAAAUGAAGAAAUAAAAGCAUUUAUAUCAAGUAAUCAUGCUUGGAAAGCCAUAACCAUCAAUUCCUCGUGACACCAAUGGUGACACGUCCUGACCUGUAAUCUUCGCUAGACUCAGGAGACAUCUGGUCAACCUGGUCCGCAAUCCUCGCUCCCACGGUCCGGAUAACUCUAAGACUCGUGGGGCAAAAUAUGCUAGAAAAACUUAAGAUAUUUAAUACUAUAUAAAAUAAUGUAAGAUAAAGAUAAAUGAACAUAAUAAAAUAAAAUAACACAAGUUAAAGAUUAUAAGUUCCGAACACCCUUGUAUUGAACUCACGUAAAGUUCAUAAAUAAAUAAAUAUAUAUAUAUAUAUCAAUAACUUGAUUAGAAUCUAUAUAUAUAUUUCCAUCUAUCACUUGUAAAACAAAUGUGACGCUUAAGAAAAUAAUGGUAACUGUAUAAAAUCCUCAAUUUAGUUUAAAAGUAUCUCAGAACUUAAAUUCUCUCCACCUAGGUGUAACCCCAUUUCUGAUCCAUCAAUUCCUUUAAUACCGUCAAUUCCAUAUAUGCCAUCGAUUCCAUAUAUCUGUCAAUUCCAAUAAUAAUCCGUCAAUUCCAAUGUUAGUCCAUAAAUUCCAUCCUCGCAGGUCUCGGAACCAUAAAGUUAACUGAGCCGCAUUCCUCGUAGGCCUCAGAGAUAACACUUCAAUCUGAGCCGCAAUCCUUGCACCACACGGUUCAGGCGUCCUCGAAACUCGUGGGGCAUCAUCAAAAUAACAAACUGUCUCAAGGCAACUGAGGGGGUACCCUUGCGGUGGGUUUGAAAAGCAUAACUCGUCAUUUAUAUAAACUUUAAAUAAAUUGGUUCUCAACUAAACUUAAAAUAUAUACAUAUAUAUAUAUAUCAUAAUCUGAUAAAAGCCAAAAGCUAAGAUUCAUCGUUUUCAACUACUGAAUAUAUAUAUAUAUAUAGUACACACUUGGCUAGUUUGUUAACUAUCUCGAUCUCUGCUUAGCAUACCAUUCCAAUAUUAUAUUUAUACUCCAACCACACAAUUAACUAUAUGAACAUAUAUAAACUUGUGAUAAAUAAACAGAUAAUUAAAUACUCAUCUCGAAAUCACAUAAAAUCAUGAAAUUAGAACUACAACUAAACCAAAUGAACACUCGCACGCACAUGAGCUUUCUAAAGGCUUAAACAUAUCACAUGGAGCUCAUCCUCGUUAUUUAAUCCAAAGUCUUGGCCCUGGGCUCCUAGAAGUGUGUGCAUUAUAUUUGAAGUCAUUCUCAAGCCUAUAUAAGCCUUUCCAAUGAUUAAAACGGUCUAGAAGUGUCUCGGGACUCAAAAAGCGAUAAGUACCUAAAAAGUCAACUCGGGACCCCGUGGGGUCCAUGUCCUCAAGAUUCCGACCCGAGAGUUCCUAGAGGUCUUAACAUGCCUAGGACACAUGUCCCGAGAGUUUGGUCUCGAUCGGACGGUCUAGAAGUGUCUCGGGACUCACGAUCGCACAAUUGCACGGUUACCGUAAACCCAGGCCUAGGGUUGGCCUUUUCGGAGUCUCCGGGACUCCGAUUCCCGAUCUAUUGAAUCCUACACGAUCCGGGAAUUGUUUAGAUUGACAUAUAUGAAAAUAACUAUGAUCCAACGGUUUAAAUGUAUCAAACCCGAAAAUCACACAAUAUGCGAGAUCCGAUCGGGGCUCAAACGUUGUCCAAAUUAAGAUCCGUGAAUUCCUACGCGCUCGUAACGACAUGAGGAUCUAUCUAGGACUAAGAGUGACCUCACUAUGCAGCCCAUGCGCCGCCACAUGUGGAAAUACUCCAAACCACCCGCCCAAACUCCUAUCCUAGGUAUAACACCCUAUUUGGAACCACUUUUGUUCUUGAACCUACCUCGAAAAAUGAGCGGAAGUGGUAGAAAUCUUAUCCCGAAAUCUGGCCAAAUUUUGGGCUACAAAUCGAGUUGCCUACGCUAGAAAUUGAUUAAAUCCUACUCAACCAUCAGCUAGAACACAUUGAAAGGAUGGAAAAACAUACCAAAUUCUAAGGAAAUGGUGGCCGGAGGUGUCUGAACGAGCUCCACGAAAUUCCGUCAAAAACUGUCCAAACUGUCCUGUUUUGUGGCGGUUUCCAGCGACCACGACGGUGGAUCGAGGCUGAGAUGGGCUGGAACUGGAAGAGGGAAGUAUGGUGGUUCUAACGGGACUAGUCUUUCUUCGAUUGGCGGCCAGAGUUGAGAGAUAUCACCUUUGGAAGUCAACUGGUCCAACUCCAAACUGCAGAAAAUCUGGGUUUUAAAAAAAAAUAAACUUCAAAUUAUUUACGGUUAUGCCACUAAACUUCUUUUAAUCUUCAUUUCUUCAUUACAAUCCCAAUUCGAGUUCACUACGUGUCUACAGACUCGUUUCGACGUGCUCUACGCAACGGUAUAAUCGGAAUUUCCAAAUUCCUUCCCAAACUUAAAAUGACCUUUUUGCCCCUUAUAAUAUUAAAUAAUAUUUUAAUUUCUCAAAAACCUUAAUUAAUUCAAAUCAUUUUAUUUUAAUGUUUAUUUCAAUUUAUUUCCUCUUUUAAAUUUAUUCUCUCUUACUUUAAAUAUUUUAACACUUUUUUCGGGCCGGGAUAUAACAAUUUCACCAAAGUUUCCCCGGUCAACAAGUCAAUAUGUAAACCUAUUAAAAACAUUCCGGGGGUAACAUUGUCUUUUUCUUUAAUAAUUUAGUAUUUAAUUAUUAGUUUAGGACCAGGUCGUUGCAUAUUCUAUUUUUCCAUAACUCAAAUUGUAUGAACCUAUUGAAAUUCAUCUCUCUAAUUGAAUUUUCUUUGUGUUCUCAGAUUGGGAAAACUUGCCUAAGCACCUCUUAAAUUUAGUUCUGGAGUUAUUAGUAUCACCAUUAGACUAUUUGCGAUUCAGUGUUAUUUGUAAUUCAUGGCAUUCUAUAACAAAGGACAAUGAAAAUAAACUCGCUAAAAUGACAACUCCAAUGCGCUUGAUCUCUGGUAAUGAAGAAGAUACAUGGUACUUAUACAAUGUUAUGGAUGAUAAGGUUCUGGAUUUGCAAAUAAGAAUGUCCAAGAAGAAUAUGAGAUUUUUUGGUUCUUCAAAAGGAUGGCUAGUAGCUGUGGAAUAAAAUUUUGUAGUAACAUUAUUGAAUCCAUUCUCUAUGGUUAUAGGGAGGGAAAAGAAAGAAAAUUCAAUCAUUCGCCUUCCUCCACUAACACCUCAUGAACGGGGAAAGGAGCAUUGUGUUAGAUUUCUUUACAUACAUGUUCAAGAUCUUUCACACAAUCUGAAAUACGUGAAGACAUAAAGACAUACCUAGAGCCAUCUUCCUUGAGUAUACGACCUCUGAACUCAUUCAAUCCGUAGCAGCAACAAUCUCGGCAAGAACAGGAACGGCUCAAGACUUCUGCUCUCUCUCAGAAUUUGUUUCAUCUCUCUCUUUAUGAUGAGAUUAGGGUUAGAGAACAUGUCUGAUGAGAGCAGGGCCUUAAGCUUAUAUAAGGCUAGGUCAAGUAGUCUCUACUCAUCACCGAGGACCGACUUGACUAAUCUUCCAAGCCCACCAAAACGGUUCACGCAAAAAAGGAAAUAAAUAGUACUCAUUAAUAGGCUUCAAAACCUUUCUUUAUUCCACAAAGUUUUGGGCCACAAGGUAUAACUUAAUUUAAACUCUUAUCAAAACCUGAUAUAACUUAGUAUCUAGUGCAUCGAUCUAAAUAGGAAAACAUAACAUUCUCCCACUAGAUCAUGCACUAGAGCACUAAGCUUCUAUAUUCCAAAAGGUUUGAUAAUCUUUAUUGACCAUGAGUUUAAAAUUGUUAAGUCCUUCCCCUCAAGCUAUAGUGAAAGUGAUUAGACAAAACGAACUAUAGACAAGUACUGCUCUCUUUAUUAAAAACUGGCCAUUUAUAAUCACAUAAUGCAAUCUCAAAACAGAUGAAGCACCUACAAACGUGAACCUUAAUAUGUACUGAUCCAUAAUGUGAAUCUUUAUGUUUUUCAGUACAUGUACCACUUUAUGACUUAGCAAGAGUCAAUCGGCAAUGUUAUUAAAACUAUAGUAUCUCAAAAGAGACCAUAAACUCACAUGCAUAAACAAAAUUGCACAAUAAGUUUAAACAGCUAAACAGUCAAAAAGUAGAAUUUAUUUAACAAUAAAUAAAACUGUCAACCAAAUUAACAUCCAUAAAUACAAAUCCCUCAAUCCAGAAAAUAGCUAAAUAAACAAACUAGUAAAAUAUCAAAACGGGAACAAGACUCCCACUAGAUUGUAGAAUCAAAGCUAGGAAAUAAUCUCAUGCUCUCAACAUAUCUUAGAAAAGCUUUUGAAUGCAAAAACUUUGUGAAUGGAUAUGCAAUCAUAUCUUAAAUUAUGAUAUGAUCAAACUUGACUAGUUUGUCCUCUACCUUCUCCCUCACUAUUAUAUAUUUUUUGUCAAUAUACUGAAGUACAGACGACAUCUUGUUGUUCAUGAAGUGAAAAACAGCCGCAAUGUUAUCAUUAUAUAUGUGUAUUGAUCUAGAAAUUGAGUCCACUACCUUAAUGUCUUUAAUAAAAUUCCUUAGCCAUACUGCAUGAGAAGUGGCUUCAUAGCAAGCAAUGUAUUCGAAAAACAUGAUUGAACUAGAAACACCAGAUUGUUUAGCACUCUUCCAAGCAACGGCUGCUCUUGCCAUCUUGAAAAGAAAACCUAAAGUAGAGUUGUAAUCAUCCUCUGCUUUUCCAAGAUUUGCAUCAGCAUAACCAACAAGCUCUAAAUUCUCUGUGCGUCUGUAAAUCAAUAUAUAAGCCUUUGUUCUCCGUAGGUACCUCAAAAUCUUAUUCUUCUUUAUUCUUGGGGCAAUGCUUAUUCUCUAAAUCUCUAUUAGCUAACGGAACUUUUUGUCCAGAACAUAUACUCAUGUCAAAACGCUUGAGUAUCCUUUCAAUGUAUGUUUUCUACGACAUGCUUAGGAGAUCGAGCUUAAUUUAACUGAAUUUCAAUGCCUAACACAAAAAGGCUUAUCCUAAAUCCUUCAUCUCAAAAUUCAUUGAAAAUAGCUCCUUAGUCUCUUUCAGUAAAUUGUGGUCAUUUGUAAUCAAAAGUAUAUCGUCAACAUAUAGCACUAGAAAAAUAAAUCAGCUUCCACACUUCUUCAAAUAAAUGUAUUGAUCGGCUAUGUUCUCUUCGAAACCAUAAGAUCAAACAGUUUGAUGGAAUUUGAAAUACCACCCUCUGCUUGCUUGCUUUAGUCCAUAAAUUGUCUUACCAAGUUUGCAAACCAUAUACUUUUUUCCUACUUUGCAAACCCUUCGAGUUGCCUCAUAAAAUUUUCUUCUUCGAGUUCACCAUUCAGGAAAUCAGUUUUUACAUCCAUUUGAUGUAAAAGUACGUUAUAAUGUGCCAUCAAAGCCAUAAUGAUGCGGAAAGAAUCUUUGGUGGAAACUGGAGAAAAUGUCUCAGUGUAGUCAAUUCCCUCCCUUUGGGUGAAUCCUUUUGCUACCAAUCUAGCCUUAAAUCUUUUGAUUCUUCCAUCCUUAUCCUUUUUUGUUUUAAAUACCCAUUUCGAGCCUACCAAUUUCUGGCUCUUAUGAGGUUCAACUAAUUCUCAUACUUGAUUAUUCUUCAUGCUUUCGAGUUCAUUCAACAUUGCUUCCCUCCAUUUGUCUGCAUUAUGACUCUCUAUAGCUUCUUUAAAAUUUGUUGGAUCAGCCUCAUCUCCAAUGUCAAAAUCUGCUUCUUGUAAUUACACAUAAUCUGAAUUUGUUGUGGAUCUUCUUGGUCUGUCAGAUCUCAUCGGUUGCACUGGUUCUUGUGGAUUAUCUAGCUCAAGAUUAUCAACAGCUUGUUCUUGUUGAUCAACUGGUUCUUCAAACUGAGGUGGUUCCAAUACAAUUUCACUUAAAGAAAUCAAGGGUGUAACAUCAUGUUCAUCAUUCUCAAUCACAGCUACAUCAUCUUCUUUUUCGAAAAUAAAAUCUUCAUUCCCAGUGGCAUUCUCCUCAUGCUUUAUAAACUUUGCACAACUAGUCUCAGCAAUUCGGGCGCCAUAAGUUGGAUAGUAAAAUCUAAAACCCUUUGACCUUGCUGAAUAACCUAUAAAAUGACAGCUAAUCGUUUUAAGAUUGAGCUUCUUCUCUUGAAUGUUAUAGAUUAUAGCUUCAGCCUUGCAAUCCCAUACAUGAAGAUGUCGCAUGUUAGGCUUUCUGGAAGUCUAAAUUUUGAAAAAAUGUCUUAGGUACGGAGUUACUAGGCACUCUAUAGUUUGUUGUUUUGGUCGCCUCUCUCAAAAAGCGUAGGCAAAUCAGUUUUAAAAAUCUUGCUAAGAAUUAUGUCCUUCAAAGUUCGAUUUCUUCUCUCAACCACACCAUUCUGUUGCAGAAUUCAUGGCGUUGUGUACUGAGCAGUGAUUCCAUUUUCUUGUAGGUACCUAGUAAAAAGGUCUAGUACGUUUUCCUCAUUCAUCAAACAUCUAUAAUAUUCACCCAUUAUGUCCGACCUCACAAUUUUGAUCUUUUUCUCAAGUUGUCUUUCUACUUUAGUUUGAAAUUUUUUGAAAAUUUUAAAAGCUUGAGACUUUUCUGCUAUGAGAUAUAGAUAACCAAAACGAGAAUGGUCAUCUAUAAAGGUGAUGAAAUAGCAAUUUCCAUCAAUUGUCUGAUGAGGAAAUGGUCCACUAAUGUUUGUAUGGAUGAUUUCUAAAAUAUCACAACUGCACCUUUUCUUUUAGUCUUAGUGAGUUUUUCUUUAACACAUUCAAUACAAAUUUCGUCAUCAUCGAAAGUCAUUAAUGGCAAGAUUUGUUCCUUAACAAGAAUUUUCAUUCUUUCUUUUGAAAUGUGCCCUAAACAUCCAUGCCAUAACCUAGUGGAUGUUCUUACACUUCUCAUCCUUUUCUCACUCGAUUCAGCUAUUAAAACUUCACAACCUUUAUUGUAAUUGAGACAAUAUAAUCCAUCCUUCCAUCAUCUUCUGCAGGGACGUCUAUGGCUUGGUCCGAACCAAUUUUUUCUGCGAGAUCUGAGCCUAAACCACAUUAUACGCAACAUAUGAUGGGUUCUCCUCUGGUGGACACCACUAUCCCUUCCCUACCACCCCAACCCAAUGAACAAAACAUCGUCCACAGAAACUUGGGUUUUGAGAUUGCCUGUGCCAAGCCUACUGCUCCUGACUUCGAUGGUCGUGGGGAUCCUACUCUCUUUGUUGAUUGGAUAUCGGCUAUGGAAGAGUAUUUUGAAUGGUAUGAUAUGUUCGAUACAUAACAGAUCUGGUUCGCCAAACUCAAACUAAUAGGAGCCGCAAAGCAAUACUGGAAGGCUACUGAGCACCAUAUUUAACAACUCGCCUGUGAUUUUAUGGGAUGAUAUGAAAUUGAAACUCCGAGAACUAUACCUUACAUCUUUUUAUUGUCACCAAUUGUUAGAUCAAUUAUGGACUUUUUCCCAGGGCAUUUCAAUAGUCCAAGACUAUUAUUCCCACUUUGUGGAGCAUAAAUUGCGUUCUGCUCUGCAGCAAGAGCUCGUAGUUACAGAUUCUCGUUUUAUUCAUGGCCUUAGGGAUGAUCACAAACACGAGGUAAGUAGGUCACGUCCAGAUGUGUUGGAAGCCGUUUAUUGCCAAGCCUUGGAUGCUGGACAUAUUUGUCGCCACAACAUUCAGGAUAUCCUGCACCACCACCUAACAAAGGACCGACUAUUUCAACUAAUGCUCGCAUUGAAUGUUCCAAUUCGAACUUUAACUAUUAACACUCCCGCUAGUUAGCUUUCUGAGAUUGUGGAGCCUCUCGAAGGUGUCUAUGAUCCAUAUAUCAAUGAUUGCUGACCUUCGUCCCUUAUUAUUCAUACUUGCAAUUGGCGUUAUCAUCAUUAAUUUACAUUUUGUGGUUGUUUACUUAUCGGAGUCAAGUUCUUUUUCCAGGGAGAGAAUCAUGCAGGACGCAUAGGACCUAAAUUUAUUAGUUUCCUAGAUUUCCCAAUUCUAGUAGGAUUUCAACAUUUCUAGAUUUCUAGAUUUCUAGUUUUAAGUUUCAUAUGUAAUAAUAGCAUAACACUAACAUCAAGUAAAUUGAAACAUCUCCUCUAAAAAUUCACCAGUAACCUCAAAACAGCAUAUGGGAUACAAACAAGAACUAAUUGGGGCACCUAGGAGGAUAGGAAGCUAAUUACCCAAAACGAAAAGGUUACCCAAAAAUUGAAGCAGGUCAUCUUCGCUUGCAACACCAAAUCUAAAAGUUGUUAUAUAGAGGCUUUGAGAUUGAAAAUCAGAAAAUCAGAAAGAACACACAAUUUAAGCGUGCCUCGUGUCACGGGAUGAGCCAGCGGCAUCGCAUGGCGGAAGCGAUACACACAUUAUGCUCGCUUCAAACACGUCUUGUGAGGCCCGGGAUCCCUUCGGAUCUCACCGAUCUUCAUGAUAUUCAUGACUCUCACAACUUCGCCAGAGGUUCACCAUCAAGUGUCGUCUCUCAUAGGAGCCAGGCCCCAUAGCUAGACAACGAGUCACACUACAUUGUGACAAUACAAUCAUCUCGCAUCCAGCAACGAACCCUUGAUGUCCAUACAUCAAGCUUUGCAUAAGACACGUCAAGUGCAUCGACCAUGUCGCAUGCCCCUACUUGUGGCUCGCUCUUAUCCAAGUCAAGACAUAGCGAUCCAACACAUCAUCGUUUUAUCCACACUUCUGUUCGUCAUUCUGUUAGCAACCAAGAUAGCUCACAUCCUCAAGCUAUACACGUAAGCUGUCACACUCUCAUGUCACCCAAGCAUUGGCGACAUAUGUAUUCCGAAUGUCCCACAUAAUCAUUUAUGCAUUGCAUAUUAGAUGGGCGUACCGGCAUGCCGAGUAUCUUCCUUUCAUAUUAGACAAGGCCGAACCCCAAGCCAAGUCCAUCGAGUAUUGUCAAAUGUCUCGCUUGCUAACGGCAUAGCGAAUGCUAUAUGUUGACCUCACUCUUCACAACAAUCUGCAAUAUGAAAGGCCCCUUGUGUUCUUAUUGUCCUUGGGAAGUCCAUUCCCUCAGAGACAUAAAUUUUCCUUCAACAAUUCCAUGCCCGCCCUUAUCACUACCUCUAAUGUCAUAAGGAUGCUCGCUUAGUACCACAAGGGUGUAAGCAUCAGGGGUGGUAGAGAGGGUGACACCAUGUCACCCUUAUAUAGCAAUUUAUGCAAUUAGCAUUCUGUCCGGAGGAAACAUCACCUAUGCAUAAGGAGUCAUAAUUGGGCAUAACUAAUUUGUACUAACUUCGAAUGGCAAAUCAUUAGUUGCGUUGAACAUAUCUCAACAUCAUAAAUGUCCCAGUAUUCUUAGCUUCCUCAUAUUUCUCCCAUAACUUUUGAAAAUACCCAAAAUACCCUUCACGAGUGCAACCCAGCCAACAUAAACCAUUCUAGCUCUUAAGCCCUCGCCCUUCCACACUUAGACUACCUUAUAAGCGCAUAUAUGUCCCAAUGGAGUCACGACAGUACUCGUUUAUUUGCGAUCCGUGACAUUCUCCCCCACUGAUAAUGUCGACGUCCUCGUCGACAUGCCCAUUGCACUGCCGCAUAUGGAGUCACAAUAGCACUCACUUAUGUACAAUCUGUGACAUUCUUCCUCACUGAUAGUGGCGACGUCCUCGUCGACAUGCCCAUUGCACUGUCGCAUAACAACACUAUUUAGGAAUAUUCUAUUCUCCUCGCUCAAUGGACCACAAUGCACCAUUGUGUUCACCCUUUUAACUUCUCUUGAAGUUCCACGUAUUUUCCCUCUUUGGGCUGAGACCUUUGUCUCUUGUCGCACUCAACCAUCGAACAAACACAUAGCUCGCUGGUAAGAUACUUCCACAUUUUUCACAUUGAAAGAGAUGCACCCAGCUUGGGUGUGACUUGUAACCCAACUGCAUGUCUUCCAUGGCACCUCCAUUUGUUUAUGCAUUUGUACGACCAUACCUUCAUGACAUUCAUGGGUUUCCCCAACGAGUAAGACUCUGGGAUCCACUUUUGGAACAAUCCUUUGUUCUGAAUAUCAGUUAGCAACUUUACGUCAAACAUUAUGCCCCACCUACACAUUCUCCACAAUUGUAAGAGCAACCACUUAAGUAACUCCUUCAUUAAAGCCUAGCCUGUCAGCGACUUACUUCCCUUGAAGACUGCACAUGGGAUACAAACAUGGGAAGACUGCGAGGCCACAUUCAAUAGAGAGAGAGAGAGAGAGAGAGAGAGAGAGAGAGAGAAAGAGAGAGAGAGAGAGAGAGAGAGAGGUUUUAAGACUGAAAAUUUGAAAACCAGAAGAACACAUACUUUAAGUGUGCCUUGACAGGGUUGCGGAAAAAGACUAAAAAGCUCCCAUUGUGAAAAAUAAAUAAAUAAAUUUAAAAUACUAACGAAAAUCAUUAAAGAGAGCGAACACCAAACGACGACGUAGAGGGAGACGAGAAAGAGAGAGCUUAUUCUCUAUGUUUUAGCUCUUUGUAAACAGAGCAGAAACUCACAUCGCACUAGGAAGAAUGAACGAAAGAACUAAUGCAGUUAGACAUUAACUAUAUAAAGAGCUCUGAACUCUCUCUCAUUUCCAAUUCUCAUUACUCACAAAGACAGAGAUAGAAUGUGAGAGAAAGCAAGCUAGAGAGAAAGUUGAGAGCGAGUUAGAGAUAGAGGGAAGGCGAAAGCGAGCUAGAUAGUGAGCAAGUGAGGGCGAGUUAGAGAGCGAGCAAGCUAGAGAGAGAGCGAGAGCGUGAAUAGAUGGAGUUGAUUUCAAGAUAACUAUCUGAAUUUAAUUAGUACUCACUCGCUGAAUUUCAAUUUAUUGCAUCGUUUAACUAUUGCAUGUCAAAUAAAUUUUGAAUUAAUGGAUCUUGAACUAGGUAAUUUUCAAUGUCUGAUUUCUAGAGCUUUCAAUUUUUAGUUUGAGAGGUUAGUGAUUGAGAGCAAAGUAGUUAUCUUUUGUAGCAGUUAUUCUAUGAAUUUGAUUGAAUUUACUUUCUCUUAAUUUCAGUUCCCAUAAUUUCAAGCUCUGUCAUUUGUAGGUUAAUUCGUUGAUUUUCAACUUGAGAUAGAGAACUAAAAGUUUUUCGUGAAUGCAAAUGUCUGGGUAGAAUGUGAAGGUUCGGUCACAUUUCAAAAUGCAACUUAGAAACAAGAGCAUUAUAUGCAAUUCCACCCGGAGAUACAAACUUCUUCUAAGAAUGAGAAAGGAAAGAAGAAAGCUGAUAAAAAGAAGGCUUGCAAUUUGCGCAUAAAGAAGUUUACCUCCGUUACUGAUUUGUUCAACCAUCAAAAGUAUCAUCUGGGUCGAUUUCACGCAGUGUGCACGAAGCCUAAAUGCAAGAAGAAGUUUACUACUUCAAAAGGUGCAAAAGGCUGCUCUCCGUUUGCUGUGCUUGGUGUUGAAUCAUUUUGACUAAAUUGCUUUAAUUUGUGUUAAUUGAUGUGUGCUUAGUCUAGUCUUCAUCUUCUUGAUGUUUGUUUGGAUAUUGCUGGGAGAACACAAAUGCAACAAUUGCUUACUAAGUUAUACAAAUACAAUUAUAUUGAGUGACAUAGGAAAUCUGGUGAUAUUGUAACUGACUUGUGUUGGACAAACCUCACUAUAAUAUUGAGAUUUUGAGUGCAUUUUCACAUGUACUUCUCAUGGAUUGCACAUAUAAGACUAAUAUGUAUCGUUUUCCACUAUUGCAAGUUAUAAGGGUAGCAUAUAUUAAUAUGACAUUCUCUGUUGCGUUUGUAUAUAUGAAUGUCAAGAAGGAAGACAAUUACACAUGAAUGUCAUUUGUAGGUUAAUUCGUUGAUUUUCAACUGGAGAUGGAGAACCAAGAGCUUUUCGUGAAUGCAAAUGCCUGGGCAGAAUGUGAAGGUUCGGUCACAUUUCGAAAUGUAACUCAGAAACAAGAGUAUUAUAUGCAAUUCCAUCUAGAGAUACAAACUUCUUCUAAGAAUGAGAAAGUAAUGAAGAAAGCUGAUAAAGAGAAGGCUUGCAAUUUGUGCACAAAGAAGUUUACCUCCGUUACUAAUUUGUUCAACCACCAGAAGUAUUAUCGAAGUCGAUUUCAUGUGGUGUGUACGAAGCCUAAAUGCAAGAAAAUGUUUACUACUCAAGUGAUUAUUAGAAUCACUUGAAAGUGUGCAAAUAAGUUGCUCUCCGUUUGCUGUACUUGCUGUUGAUUCAUUCUAACUAAAAUGCUUUAAUUUGUGUUAAUUGAUGUGUGUUUAGUUUAGUCUUCAUCUUCUUGAUGUUUGUUUGAAUAUUAUUAUGAGAACACAAAUGCAAUAAUUGCUUACUAAGUUAUCCAAAUACAAUUAUAUUGAGUGGCAUAGGAAAUCUGGUGAUAUUGUAACUGACUUGUUUUGGACAAACCUCACUAAUAUUGAGAUUUUGCAUGCAUUUCCACCUUCACUUAUCAUGGAUUGCACUUAAAAGACUAAUAUGUAUCGUUUCCCACUAUUGCAAAUUAUGAUGGUGACAUCCACUAAUAUGACAUUCUCUGUUGCCUAUGUAUAAAUGAAUGUCAAGAAGGAAGACAAUUACACAUGAGCUUUGUCAUUUGUAGGCUAAUUCGUUGAUUUUCAACUGGAGAUGGAGAACCAAGAGCUUUUCGUGAAUGCAAAUGCCUAGGCAGAAUAUGAAUGUUCGGUAACAUUUCGAAAUGCAACUCAGAAACAAGAGCGUUAUAUGCAAUUACAUCCAGAGAUACAAACUUCUUCUAAGAAUGAGGAAGGAACAAAGAAAGCUGAUAAAGAGAAGCCUUGCAAUUUGUGCACAAAAACGUUUACCUCCGUUACUAAUUUGUUCAAAAACCAGAAGUAUCAUCGGGGUCGAUUUCAAGCGGCAUGAAGCCUAAAUGCAAGAAGAAGUUUACUACUUAAGUGAUUAUCAGAAUCACUUGAAAGGGUGCAAAUAGGCUGCUCUCCGUUUGCUGUGCUUGCUGUUGAUUUAUCCUAACUAAACUACUUUAAUUUAUGUUAAUUGAUGUGUGUUUAGUCUAGUCUUCAUCUUCUUAUUGUUUGUUUGGAUAUUACUGGGAGAACACAAAUGCAACAAUUGCUUACUAAGUUAUCCAAAUACAAUUAUAUUGAGUAGCAUAGGAAAUCUGGUGAUAUUGUAACUGACUUAUUUUGGGCAAACCUCACUAUAAUAUUGGGAUUUUGCGUCCAUUUCUACAUGUACUUCUCAUGGAUUACACUUAUAGAACUAAUAUGUAUUGUUUCCCACUAUUGCAAGUUAUGAGGGUGACAUAUACUAAUAUGACAUUCUCUGUUGCGUAUGUAUAUAUGAAUGUCAAAAAGGAAGACAAUUACAUAUGAGCUUUGUCAUUUGUAGGUUAAUUCGUUGAUUUUCAACUGGAGAUGGAGAACCAAGAGCUUUUCAUGAAUGCAAAUGCCUGGGCAGAAUGUGAAGGUUCGGUCACAUUUCGAAAUGCAACUCAGAAACAAGAGCAUUAUAUGCAAUUCCACCCAGAGAUACAAACAUCUUCUAAGAAUGAGAAAGGAAUGAAGAAAGCUGAUAAAGAGAAGGCUUGCAAUUUGUGCACAAAGAAGUUUAUCUCUGGUACUGAUUUGUUCAACCACCAAAAGUAUCAUCGGGGUUGAUUUCACGCAGUGUGCACAAAGCCUAAAUGCAAGAAGAAGUUUACUACUAAAGUGAUUAUCAGAAUCACUUGAAAGGGUGCAAAUAGGCUGCUCUCCAUUUGAUGUGCUUGAUGUUGAUUCAUUAUGACUAAAUAGCUUUAAUUUGUGUUGAUGUAUGUUUAGUCUAGUCUUCAUCUUCUUGAUGUUUGUUUGGAUAUUGCUGGGAGAACACAAAUGCAACAAUUGCUUACUAAGUUAUCCAAAUACAAUUAUAUUGAGUGGCAUAGGAAAUCUGGUGAUGUUGUAACUUACUUGUUUUGGACAAACCUCACUAAUAUUGAGAUUUUGCGUGCAUUUCCACCUUCACUUAUCAUGGAUUGCACUUAUAAGACUAAUAUGUAUCGUUUCCCACUAUUGCAAAUUAUGAUGGUGACAUCCACUAAGAUGGCAUUCUCUGUUGCCUAUGUAUAUAUGAAUGUCAAGAAGAAAGACAAUUACACAUGAGCUUUGUCAUUUCUAGGUUAAUUUGUUGAUUUUCAACUGGAGAUGGAGAACCAAGAGCUUUUCGUGAAUGCAAAUACCUGGGCAGAAUGUGAAGGUUCGGUCACAUUUCGAAAUGCAAUUCAGAAACAAGGGCAUUAUAUGCAAUUCCACCCGGAAAUACAAACUUCUUCUAAGAAUGAGAAAAGAACGAAGAAAGAUGAUAAAGAGAAGGCUUGCAAUUUGUGCACAAAGAAGUUUACUUCCGUUACUGAUUUGUUCAAAAACCAGAAGUAUCAUCGGGGUGGAUUUCACGCGGUGUGCAUGAAGCCUAAAUGCAAGAAUAAGUUUACUACUAAAGUGAUUAUCAGAAUCACUUGAAAGGAUGCAAAUAGGCUGGUCUCCGUUUGCUGUGCUUGCUGUUGAUUCAUUCUGACUAAACUGCUUUAAUUUGUGUUAAUUGAUGUGUGUUUAGUCUAGUCUUCAUCUUCUUGUUGUUUGUUUGGAUAUUACUGGGAGAACACAAAUGCAACAAUUGCUUACUAAGUUAUCCAAAUACAAUUAUAUUGAGUGGCAUAGGAAAUCUGAUGAUGUCGUCACUUACUUGUUUGGGACAAACCUUACUAAUAUUGAGAUUUUUCGUGCAUUUCCACAUGUACUUAUCAUGGAUUGCACUUAUAAGACUAAUAUAUAUCGUUUCGCACUAUUGGAAAUCAUGAGGGUGACAUCUACUAAUAUGACAUUCUCUGUUGCCUAGGUAUAUAUGAAUGUCAAGAAGGAAGACAAUUGCACAUAAGGUUUGACUACAUUGAGGAAUUUGUUGGAUGAUAAGUAUCUUUCUGAUGUUAUUUCCACUGAUCAAGAGUUAACACUCAUGAAUUCUAUUACAUCUAUAUUUCCGAAAGCACGACAUUUAUUAUGUAAAUGUCAUAUUAACAAAGGAGUGUUGGUAAACUGCAAGAAGUUAUUUGGGACCCUCAAACAAAGGAAGCAAUUUAAUGAUGAUUAGAAUAGUUUGGUUGGUUCAGAAACGGAGGAGGAAUAUUGGUGUUGUUUGCGACACAUUGAGUCUAAGUUCAGUGAAUUUCAAAAAGCUCUUGAAUACAUACAUGACAAUUAGUUAAAUCCAUUUAAGGAUAGGUUUGUGGCCGCAUGGACAAAUGCUUGUAUUCAUCUUGGAUCGACGACCUCAAAUAGGUAGGUAUUUUAGUCCAUUAUUGAUAUGUUAAUUUGAAAAUUUAUUUUGCUUCCGGAAAAUUUAUUAUUGUUAUCAACAAAGCUGAAAGUGCACAUGCAAAGUUGAAGCAACAACUCCGCUCGAGUCAACUUAACUUUGAGAGAUAAUGGGUAACUAUUCACUCAUUGUUAGAGCUAGAGCACACAGAGAUUAAGGCAUCUUUUGAAAAGAGUCGAUGCUUUAUUCAACAUAGGUUCAGGCAUCCAGAGUUGAGCGAGUUAGUAGGUUUUGUUUCUAUAAAGGCUUUGAGUGUAAUUGUGUGCAAGUCAUAAAUGUAAACUAAGUUUACUUAUUGCAUGUACAUAAAUGGUCUACAUAGUUAACAUUGUAAUUUAUUUGCAAACAGGUUAGAGAUAGAUGGGGUGGAUGCUUUAUCAUGUGGUUGUGCUAUUCGUCGAACCCACCAAUUAUUAUGUGCACAUGAAAUUGCGGAGUAUAGAGUGCACCACCUAAAAUUAAACCAAAGCAUAGCCUCACUACCUCACUAAAAAUAAAACCGAAGAUGAGUAUCACUGCAGUGCCAAAGAAAAGAAACAUGGUUGCUUCUAGUUCCAUAUUGUCUUAUCCAAAAAAAUUUAGGGUAUGUACUACAAAUGUUGUAUUUUAUAAUGUGCUAUUAUCACAUAACUAAUAUAUUAUUUUACUUUUAGCUUUAUAAGCCUCGAGAAAACCAAUCAGCGUUCGAUACAUAUAUGCAUAUAGAGAAAUUCCCUGAGGGUAUUAGGAUAUAUAUCACUCACCAGACUUAAGUUCUUCCGCAUGGUAAUUGUGGAUAUAGAGUCAUAGCUACGGCAAUGGAAUUUGGUCAUAAUGAAUGGCAUAGGGUAUGCAAGGAUUUGUUGUAGCAACUACAUGAUAUGUUUUCUAUUUUUAAGAAGUGUAUUCAUGAACAUAAACGGUACAACGAGAUUGAGCGAGCGAUAAAUAAUUUUGGUGAUGGAUUUGCACCAUUAUUUUGUUGGAUGACCAUGCCUGAUAUGGGGCAUAUUAUUGCCACAUGUUAUAAUGUGGUUUUAAUCAUUCUAAGCAUGCGUCAAUGCCUUACAUUUCAUCUUUUCUCAGUUCAAUCAAGCGAAACCAAGCUACGUGAAAUUGCCAUUGGUUUUGUCGAUGAUGAUCAUUAUGUCCAAGUAUGAAUUUAUUUGUUUACGCUACAUAGUUUAAUUUUAUAUUCUAUGCAUAUAUUAAUGAAUUCUUGUUUUGUAGGUUCAUUUGUCUCCAGAUCAUCAUAUUCCAUAAGUUUCUAGAAUGGCAUAAACAAAGUUCCAUAUGUAAUGUAACACAUUUGUACUCGAGGUGCCAAGCGUGUGUGGAUGCAUUUCAAAAACUUUCGGGAGUGGAGAAUGUAGCUACUACAGAUACGGUCAUCCUAAUGACUAACGAAAAUGCACUCACUAUAAAUUUGAGAUUACAAAUCUAAUAAAUCUACAUAUUUUGUUAUAUUCCUUUUUUUAGUGGGAUAGACUUCAUAAGUUCCAUGAGUUUUAAUACAAAUAUGCAAUAACUAAUCAAAGCAACAAAGGUCCAUGAAUUAUAAUAAAUGCAUGCUAGCAAGUCAGUUAACCAUGACAAUGUUGAUAUCUCAUGGUAUACCAUAUGUUGGUACCCUCUAAAAUCUGCUGCAAGGUCUCAACUGCUUGAUAAACUUGGGAAGGUUGUGUACGCAAUCCAACUGUUUCCCUUAAUGCCACGAGCGGCCUAGUAAAGGAAAAUAUACGCUCGUCAUGCUCCAGUAACGAAUUUGAGUAGCAACUACAUCUUCAACCUCUGCGUCAACAUUACUAUCAUGAAUAGGAGCUACAUCUUCAACCUUUGUAGUAUCCUCAAAGUGAUCUUGGGAGCCGCUCUCGAUCACCUCGUUGAGGUUGUGGGACCCUGUCUAUCAGGUCGAGACGAUGAAGCCUCAAUAGUACUUCUGCAAGUCCUCUUCACACCUAAAAAAUAAUAUUAAGUACAAACUCAGUAACGGAUUCGGUAGACAACCACUAAAAAACGAAAACACUGAAAAAUGAAAAUACAUUGAGUGGACUAUAAAUACAUUGAGUGGACUGUCUAUGGUAAAUGGAACUACACACACGUACGCUUCACAUGCCUUCUCUAAUCCCAACUAGAUGGAAUCGAGGUGAAGGGUUCUCGGAGAGCCUUUAUAGAAUUUAAUUUAAUUAAAAUUCGUGAAUAUUGUAUGAUUGUUUAAAAUUGUUAAAUAAUGAUAUUAUUGAUAUUAUUUUAUUAAUGUAGGCAUAUUAUGACUUGAGAUUCGAGUUCUUGGGUUGAGAAAUUAGGAAUGAAAAUUAGGAUGAUGGGAAGAAUCCUUUGUGUAGUUGAAUCUGAAAGCAGUUAUGUUGAUGAUUAACUGUAAAAACUAUUGUAACCAAUAGAAAUAGAAUGAUAACUUUCCGAGAUAAAGAAAAAGGCAUUCUAUUAGUGUCAUUCUAAUGAAAAUAUAUGGUUGUGAAGAUGCUUUUUAUUUAUUUAUAUGUAACUCAUUUCUUCUUCUUUUUGUAAUGAUAUGGGAUCUCCUUUGUUUAUAAAUUUUGUGAGGUAUAAUGGGAAAAAAGAUGGAUUUUUGAUAUGUUAGUCCUUCAGGAAUUAGAAUACCACCUCUAACCCAAGAGUUAAAUUCCUUCAAAAUCAAGAAUUUGUGGGCCCUACUUGCAUUUUCAUUCUUUUAUGUGAAGUAAAACAUUAGUAUUUGUAAUCAAAAUCCAACGCCUUAUUUUGAUUCCAGUCAUAUUUGUUUCCCAUCAAUGGGUAUGGGAAGAAAUUGUUUCCAAUUUCCGACUUUCCCCAUAUUUACUAACACAUAAGGAAUGGACAAACACGUGGGUCCCAUCUUAAAAUCUGUAAUCACAUAUCUUCAAAAUCAUAAAUCAGAUUAACUAGUGGGGGUGCCAUUCAUGUUCUCCCAAAAAUAACCUUAGAAUUUUAGAAUUUCAUUCAUAUACUGAUUUCAUGCAGUUAGUAUAUAACUUAAUGGGAAUGACGUCUUCCCACACCAAUUUUGUACUUCCCUCAUUCCUCAAUUCCCUGAUUUCUUACUUCACUCAUUUAUGAUAAGUAAACAUUGCAUUUUUUAUUUAUUUUAAAAAAAAACUGCAUAAGUUUCUACCAUCAUACGUAAUAUAUAUAUAUAUAUAUAGCAAAAAACAGAGGAUGAUGGAACAUUCAAAAUACUAAAAAUUGCUCUUGGUUAAGAAAUUUAUUUAGCAUUGAAAAUUUUCAUUAACUAAGGAUAAUGUAAUAAAUUAACAUUUUUCAUAUUAAAAAAUUCAAAAUAAUAGCCAAAAUAAGUACAUGAAUCAUAUUUUUAUGGGACACAAUGUGUAUUUCUUUUUUUCUUUUUUUAAAGUAUAUUUAUUAGUUCUUAAUUCUUAAUUCUUAAUUCUUAUACCAUAUUUACUGACUAUAUCCCAUAUAGGUGGAUCUUGUUAGUAUGAAAUUAUGUUGGCAUUUUCUAGAACUUAGUAUAGGUUUAGAAGUCUCAUUUAGUUGUAUGGUUGAAGCAAAAUUGAUGUCUUUGAUAUCUAGAAACUACAAGAUUGAAACAGCUCAAUAAUUCUCGAAUACCAGAAUUAUGACUUAACACGUAUGAGAAACAUGAUCGAAAUGGUAAGACAUGUCAUUUUUCAUGCACUUAUGAUAGGAACGUUCUUUGGAAUCUAAUAUGGUAUUAUUUCCUUGAUCUUCCUUGAUUUUAAUCCACUAGAAUCCCUUUAUGAAUGCAUCUCAUGUAGGCAUAUUUUUCAAUAUAUUUUGUUUAUUCCUUCUUUCCUUAUAUUACUAAAUUCAUACUUGGCAUAAGGCGGGUCGCUCUCUCAAGUGAGAGGAGAGUUGAGCGAAAAUAUUAGGGUUAGGUUUUCUUCUUCUUUUGUCGGUUCGUUGUCAUCACAUCUCAAUCGGAAUCCAAGGUGUUGAUAUAUUCCCUCUCCAGUGGUCAUCGUUGUCUCUUCCUCUUCCUCCACAUCUUGUCCAAUUCAGUUUUGGUUAAUGAUAGCCUUGGUUCACUAGGAGACUUAGGGUGUAACGGUUCCGUAGUUCUAUGCCCUAGUAUUUUCGCCUCUAUCGUGUGUGCCAAUCACCAUUCGUCCUCUUAGUGCAAUUGGGGUCUGUCGGUUGUGGGUUUUUGUGUAAUCAUGUGGUUGGCUUACAUCAGUGGCUUCGGCGCACGUGUCUCCUUCUUGGUGUAGUGGGUAUUCUUCAUGUCUUAAUAUCCCGUUGCCAUCUCCCUUCCAGUUCGCGAUCAGGAUGUGGUCAAUGAGGACAUUGAGAGCUCAUUUGGCAGUUGCUUGGUUCUUAUGCCAAGGGAACAUGCUGGUGUGGUUAUUGGUUCUUCAACAGUCUCUGAUAGUUUUAUUGGCUUUACUUAUAGCCUUGUGGCUAAAGUCUUUAUGGAUCAAAUUGUCAACCUUGAUGGCUUUAUCAAAACCAUGUCUCAAUCAAGGAACUAUAUUCUAACAGGUUAUGGGUGUGCUUUAUUAGUGCUCGAGAUAAGAAAAGUGUUCUUAACAUGGAACCCUGGCCAUAUCGGUGUUCCUUGAUUUUUCUGGCUAAGAUCCCGGAUGAUGGUAGUAUGCACUCUAUGCCAUUGAUGUAUGGAAAUUUCAGGGUACAUUUACGUGGUGUACCUAGUUUUUGCAUGAUAGUAGUAGUUGUUCAGGCCAUCGAUGCCAUAUUUGGGGACCUUUUUUUAGGGAUAACCGAGAUAGCACUAAUUGUGUAAGUCACUUUAUUUGCAUUCGUGUGCGGUUUGAUCUCACCCUACCCCUUACUCGUUGGACACCAAUUAUCUUUCUAGAAGUUGGGGAGAAAUUGGUGGAGUUCAAUAUGAUUACCUUCCUGAAUAUUACUUUGCCUGCGGAGGAAUUGGUCAUUCUUCUCAAGUGGGUAUUAAGAAAUAUGAAACCACCCAUGGGGCGAUUUCCCCUUCUUAUAGGGUACUAGUAAUUCUCCAUGCUAUGAGGGUCUCUGGAACAAAGAUGGGCCGGGGGAUUGGGGUAGUUUUGAUAAUCGAUCUUGGCGAUCUAGUUCUCAAGGCAAGAAUGAGCUUCAGCUUUCUGUCUCCACUUCAACCCUGCCACAUCGUUACCAAGUGUUGAAGGUCGUAGAUACUAUAUUUCAACAAAGUGGGCUAUCUAAUAAUGGUGUUCACUCCUUAGUACCACCUCCACCGGUCCAGUGGGGUCUGUGUCGGAGUUUGGGGUUCUCCCCAUGGAUAUCCCCUAAAAGGAGGUGAGUUUGCAUGAACCCCUUGCGGCUUUGGGUGCCCAUACUGUUUUGCAAGUGGAAGUUGCAAAUAGUGGAAUCAUGGCUACGUCUUGGAAUAUUAUGAGUUCGGCUCUAUCUGAUCCUUUUAAUUUGAUGCCUAUUAUCUAGUUUUCUGAGGAUCUCCAGAAGAAUAGGGGUCAUGACACAACCUAAAAAUACGAGGUAGGUUCAAGGAGUGCAUUUGUAAAUAUCAAUGUGAAACUUAAGAAUCCAGGCGAUGUCUCUACUGGCAAUGAUGUAACGGGUCCUGAUGUAGAUUCAACUGGUCCUAAAAGAUUUUGUAAUGGUGCUUGUUCUAAUAAGGCUGAGGAGACCGAUCGUAUGGGGUCUCUUGGUGUCCCCACUUAGUGCACAGCUUGAGCAUUCGUGGGCUUGGCAUUCGAUGAAUGCUCUAUUAGUUGAAUUCUCUAUUGGUUAAGUGAUUGAGGCUGGAUUUUUUUUUCCAGUGUGGUGUCUCUUUUUGUCGUCUCCCCUCUACAUACCUCUCAAUUCUUUUGCUACCUAAAAGACUAUGGUACUUUCAUAGGAGUUUUCUCCUGAAAAUUUUAGGAUGCAAAGGUGUGCUCAUUGAGGGUUUUCUUUGUUUGCUUUUUCGGGUUUGUUUGUAGUGUUUUUCUUCUGUUAUGUUGACUCUUUACAUAUUAUCUCACCCAUGCGCCUCCCGAAGAACUAUGCUUGGCCAUAUGAGGUUUUCUUCCUCAAGUUCUGCGUUGAGUUGGUGUGCUCCUAUGUGGUUCUUCAUUGUUGUCGUCUAUGUGUUCUCUUAUAGAAGGCUUCUUUUGACAGUUGGGAUGCGUUAGUGCGCUCUUUUGUGAGGUCUUCUGUGUCGGUUUCUAGUAGGUUUUCCCUUCUGGUUCUUUGUAGCAGUGCAAAGUGGCCUAAGUUGGACUCUUCUGUUAAUCCAUGUCAUGUAUGGUACUAUUUCCUACCUUGAGGUUUGUCCCAUAUAGUUUUCCUAGGAAGAUUUUAACGAGGCCAUUAUAUUCGUGUCAAUCUAUAUAUGCCUUUUAAAGUGUGUUUGGAUGAGGGAAGUAAACUUGGGAUUUUGACAAGAGUCAGAAUUUCUAAAUUGACAGGAUCCCUUCCCGUGUUUGGAUAAAUAAAAACAUAUAAAUUUAGAAAUUCGGCAUCGGAAAAAACAUGGAAUUUGGAGGUCAAAAAUCCCAACUUUAAAUUGUACCCGUUUGGAUGAAGAAAUUGUAAAUUACGUAGAAUUUAAAAUGACAGAAUUUAGAUUUCCGUCAUUUCAAUUUCUGGCAAUUAAUUUCAGUGUUUGGAUUUAUGUAUAUCGAAUUUUUUAAAUGACAGAAAUUAAAAUUUUCAAUGUUUGGAUAGCUCAUGUAAAUUGUAAAUGACAGAAAUUAAAUAUUUCGAAAAAACAAAAAAAAUUGAUAACUGACAUAGAAGGUAUUCCUCGAAGUAUAAACUAAUAUAUAGUUUGAUGAACUAAAUAACUCAACCUAAACAAACAGAGCAUAUUAGCAAACUAAAUAACUCCCCACGUGCAAUAAUCAUCAACAACAUACUCUUUUUUUUCCCAAUUGGGAGUACCUUCAGCAUCUGAAAUUGUUCGUCAUUUUCUAUUAGCCAAGCACAUGCUUUGAGUUGUUCAUUUUCACUAGACCUGGUACUACUUGUACUUCAGCGUAUACCUCUGCUGGAUCAAGGUUUAGUAUCAGCAUGGAUAAACUCUUCAAAUGAUAAAGCCAUUCUAGCAAUCGAAUCAACAAUAACAUCUUUGACAACACCUUUUUUCUUUGUGAGAGAAUAUCAGAAGAAUUUGAUAUGCACGAUUUCUUCUCUUUUGGCCAUUUGUUGAGGUUGGUGAAAUAUCAUCAAUAACGUGAAUAUCUUCUAAAUCUUGUGUAUCGCCAUCCAAAUCAACAUGGUCAACUUCAUUAGUAGGAGUCAUAACCUGAGUUGCAUAUGCACCUAUUUCAGUGCCCUCUCUAGUGGCUCUAUCUUUGCCACACAAAUCUACUAUAUCACCCAAUUUUCUAUAACUUUAAAUCAAAAACCUCUAGCAUCAUUAUGAGACUACCGAACAAAUAAUUAAAGUCAAAUAAGAAAGAAAGAAAACCAAAAUCGAUUUUCAACAUCAUAUAACAAUCAAUAAAGUUUUUCGUUUCCUUACAGAGUACAUAAAAAGCUUUUCAGCAGCAUAGGCUAUUUCAUUAGAGUAAGGAAACGAAGGGUAAGUUUUGGCCCUUUUUUUUUAUUGAUUUAUAAAUUUAAUGUAAGUUUUGGCACACUAGAAAAUAUGAAUUCCUACACUAUGGAAAUUGUGAAAUGACGCCUAUUUUGGUGGAAAUUAAACUCGGAAAUUUGAUGCCUCAAUUUCUAUGAUUUUUUCCAUGCGUCAUUUAAUAAAUUCCGCGCUUAAGUUGCCAAAAAAGGGAAUUAUCAAUUUCUUCUCUUAAAUUGUCGGCUUUUAGCUAAAUUCUGAGUUAUUUUCCCUCAUCCAAAUGGAGAAAUGUGAUUAUGCUUUGAAUUGGAAUAUCUCUUUUUGAAUAAAAAUCAGUCUUUCAUAGUGUGAUUAUCAAAAUCUGAUUUUGAUUGGAAUUUUCCUCUUUUAUUGUUUUGGGCCUCAUGUGUUAUCAUCUUUAGCAUAAGAAAGUAUCAUUGUGAUUACUUUCAUGUCUUGCAAAUUCAAAAUCUAUUUUGAACGUGUGUUAUGUUUUUUGGUGAAGCAAAAAACCUAUAAAACUAGACUUUUGUCUUCUUUCUUGAUUGAGCUUUCACGAUCAUUAGUCCAUAAACUUUGGAAAGUUGAGUUUUUAUUUCAGAUAAAUCAUCAAGUGUUUCAUCUUUAAUUGGCGAUUUAUCAAACACUUUUUUCAUUCAUAUUGCAUAGAUCGGUGAUUCAUACAAUUGAGUGCACCAAGACCAUUGUGGUGGUUUUCUCUGACGAGUUUGAAUCGACUAGCAAUAGCGGAGCCAAAAAAUUUAUCAAAAGGGGUCAACAUCAAAUGAAACAAAAAAAAAAAAAUUUAAUCUAAUAAUAAAAUCCUUUAUAUUAAUUUAUUUAUCAUUCCAAAUAUUUACAAAGGUUGUUGAUCUUCAAUUUGAAUUGUCUGAGUAAUUUUUUUUUGGGGUAAGAUUAUGUUAGCUUUUAGUUUUAGGUAAUUAGGUUAAUAAUUAUUAAGUUAUUACAAAUAAAAAAAUAUUUAGAAAGGUAAGUAGCACAAGUUAGUGAUGUGAGACAAAAGUUUUCAUCUUCUAUCACUCAACAUUAUACUUUUGUAGUGAUUGCAAAAGAUAAGAUAGUGAAAGUGGUCAAAUUUUAGAAAUACUAUAUAAAAAAAUCAAAUACAAACAUGUAAAAGGAUCAAAUAUGAAACAUGAGAAGGGUCACUUGACCACUGUGAGCCUUCAUUGGCUAUGCCCUUGGUGACUAGUAUCGAAUUCAACAUAAGGAGAGUUAGAAGAAUUCGGGCGAGCUUGAAGUAAUCGUGACCAGUAUUAUGUUCAACAUAAAGAGUGUCGUAAGAUCAUCCCGUGACAGAAGUUGAGUUACGAAGAAGUUGGUAAACAUGAUCUAGAAUGUGCCUGGGAUAAGUGUGUGUACUUCUUGUAAUCAUCGUUCUAUAGUGGAUUUGUUUUGAAUUGAGGAGUCCUGUGAAUUUUCCGUCUAGAUGGGCUUUUACCACAUAAAUAUGUUCCCUUUAAUUUUAUGCUCUGCACGUUCAAGAAUUGAUACACCAUAUCAAACUUGCUACCGCACUUUAUUUGAUUUUGUUGAUUAUAGUUUUAAAUUGACUUAUUCACCCUCCCCCUAGGCAUUUGUUAACUAUUCUACAUGUAAUUUUCAAAUCUCACAUGCAUUAAUAUAAGAGACGUGACAAUAGAUACAAGAAAGAUUUAAACUUAAAUAAAUAUUAAGGGUGAUUUUAUUGGCACACCAAAAUUUGCUCUUUGCACCCCACAUUCUUUUUACACCCCACUAAAUUUUAGUAAAAUUUAAAAUUACUCACUACACCUCAUUUUUCUUCCUAGAUUGCCCUCAUGAACUUCAUUUCUUAACUUACCCGUGUAAAUCCCAUCGAAAUCGUUAUCUUCUUCAGUGGUAAUCCACCGAAUUUGUUUUCAUUUUUCAAUGGCUAUCCACCAAAUAUCUAUUUCAGUUUUUUAGUGGUAGUUCACCGAAUUUGUUUCCGUUUUUCAGUGGUAGUCUAAGAAUUUCGUUUCUUAUUUCAAUGAAUUCGUUUCUUGUUCCAAUGAUCAUCUACUGAAUUCGUUAUUGAGUUUGUACUUAAUAUUAUUUUUUACUAGGAACGUGAGCACCUUGGGUGCAUGUAGAAGACAUCUACCCUUCGUUAGUGGAAUUGGGGGCUAAUCCAAAAAAUGGUAUAUUCAAAUAGGACAUUCGAAGGUCUGGAUUAGAGCAACUUAUUAGGUGUUCUUAUCGGAAUGCAGAUAAGAUUGUUGUAUCUACCUUUGUUGAGAGGUGGCAUCUUGAAACGAACAUCUUUCACAUGCCUUUUGGUGAUAUGACCAUCACAUUGGAUGAUGUGUCAUUUAUUUAGGGGCGUCACAUUGUUUUUGUUCCUUCAAUGGGAGUAAGGUCAAAAUAGCUUAUGUUAAAUUUGUGAUCGACAAUAAGUUACAAAAAAAAUAAAUAUAUUUCGGUUCGUUGCCACUGAAUUAUAGGUAAAAAUUCGGUAAUACACCACCGAACACCGUUCUAUGUUAUGGUGGAUCUCCACUACAUCUUAAGUUAACGGCCGGUCAAACACAACCAAAAUAGGUGGAAUGUUUCGGUGGCAUCCCACUAAAUUUACCUAUCGCGUUCGGUACUGGUGUGCUGAACAAAACCUUUGACCAUCAUGAAAUCCUAAACUUGAAAAAUGCCAAAAAAUAAACUCAUACCUCAUUCGAAGCCUCUCUAUAACUUCAAUCUCACCCUUCAUGAAUAAAUACAAGAUAUUUUUCACCAAUAUAAGCGUAUAAACUUCGUUAGGGUUGUAAAAACAUGAUGGUUUGAGGAAAAAGUCUAACUAGAGUUGCAGGAACAUAUGUGGGGUGUAGUGAGCAAAUUUAAUUUUUAUUUUAAACGUCUUUUUGUCCUUAACUGUAAUUAUGUAUAAGGAUUAAUAGAUUAUUCAUGUUUAAAAUUAGUAUGGAGUGCAAAGAGCAAAUAAUUGGGUGCCAAUAAAAUCUCCCUUGUAAUUAAUAGGCCAACAUAAAUUGCCAAUGUCAUUAAGACAAAUUAAACACGAAAUUUUAGUUCAUAGUUUAUCGUGUUAGAGGUUGUAACGAAACAGGUAAUUAACAUUUGUCUUUUCUUGAAAUCCUAGUCGCUCUCUCCUUCUGUGAGUUCUAAAGGAAAUCUUCAGGGGGGGGGGGGGGGGAGGGGGGAGGAAGAAGCGUUACUGCCCCUCCUCCCUCUCUUCUCUUCUCAUCUUUUCCUUUUAGGUUAGUGAAAAGUGGGGUGUUUUGAAUAAAAAGUCCCUUGUGGUGGUUUCUUCUGAGACAUGGUUAGAUUGAAGUUCCCCAUCACCACUUUUAGUUUAUGUUCUCAAUCAAAUCUUGCUCUCAAAACACAGUCCCUAUUACUGCUCAUGUUCUCUAAAUUUAAUUCUACAUCAUCUUUGACGCAGGUUGCUGCAAAUCACCCAAUUGUUCUUUGGCAAGGUUGUUGUUUUUUGUUUAUUUGUUCACUCUUAUGCGCAGGUAAAUUGUUGGAAAUUAUAUUUUCCCUAAAUCUGUUACGGAUGCGGUGGUGGGUGUGGCCGCGACGGCGCUUCUUCAGGUGGUGGUGAUAAGGUUCGUCUAGGCUCAUUGAUUGUUUUAGGGUUUCAGUUAUGUUGGGUUUGUGGGCUUUAUUUGGGCUUAUGGUUAAUUGUGGUGAUGUGGGCUAGUAGUUUUUGUCCGGUUUUUGUCCGUGUUAGUUUUGCUUUUAGCAUGUUAGUAUGUUCCCGUCUUGGAAUUUGUAUUUUAGAUGUCUUGUUGAUGUCUUCAAUUGUACUGUUUUAAAAAAAAUAUAUAUUUUUAAAACAGGGUAAUUAACUAAAAAUGGCACUCUACUUGUUGAACGAGGUUCGGAGUUAAAAUUUCAACAUUACUUUAAAUAUAAGGAAAUUGCAAGGAUUUUAGCUAUCUUCUUCCUAAAGAGACCAAGCCUAGUAGCAAUCAAUAUUGUUUUUGCUGAUUAGUGACACAAAAGUGUUACAAGACAUUCACAAAUACAAUAAAGUAAAUAAAUAAAUUAAAAAAAAUUACUAGAGUAAAACUAAAAAGACUUAUAUAAAACAUAUCUUACAAUAUCACAUGUGAAAAGAACUAAUAUUUCAACAUUACAUUACAUACAAUAUCAUAUGUUGUACAAGUCGUAAACAAUUGUUCCAUGUCUACCUAGAAAAAGAAAAAUGCUAGCACAAUUUUUUUUUUCCUCCGCUUCAAUCUUUCUCAUGUCACACUCUCUUUCGUGUACCAGAUUUUGUUGAAGGCUUCAUGCUUGAGGAGCUAUGAUGCAAAGUCUCGAUGGCCUCUUUGGUUAGGGAAUGAGAAGAUGUUACUUGGUGCAAUAUUUGAUAUCCUAACCUCUAAACCAUUUUAUUUUCACACAAGUAUGGCAUGAUGUUGACUUUGAAAUAAAAAGCUAACACUAUUUUGGUCACAAUUUUCUUUUAAAUCUUAGGAAUUUGUCUUGCAGUAUAAUGGUUUGCACUAGUGAGUUUACUAGUUAUUAGUUAAACUUAGCCUAAAAGAAAUAUUUGAAAUGCAUUUAUUCUUAGAGUACGGGAGAGGUAGUAGAGCUUUUCACAUGUCAGCCUAUAAGCAAGGCCCAAAAUAUAGAAAGGCUCUACAAUACUCAAACCUUUAGGAAUUAGUCCAUAUUGACUUUUCAAACGGACUAAAUAUACCAUACAAGCCUUGAAAAACUUAAAAAUUACAACACAACCAUCAGAGUUUUUUUUUUUCUUCAUAAAAAUCAUAAUUUAGGGAUACUAGUGGUAUUUCACACAUCAACUAGUCCUUUCGGUUUUUUUUUUUUUUUUUUUUUCAUUCAAUUUAUAGCUUUUAGUGUUUAUAUAUAAAACCAAUGCAAAAAAUGAGUUUUAUUAUAAAUCUCUCAAAACGGUAAGACCAACUCCAAAUAACUUGGAUUCUGAAAAAAUGGGUUGCAGAUAAUAUAAGAGCUCCCCAAGCUCAUUAGAGGAUAAUACACUUAAGAGAAUUAUCACUCUUUAAUAACACUCUCACUUGAAGAUAAAAAAUUUCAUCAUUUUAAAUACAUUCUUGAAAAUGCGGUUCAUGUUACAUGAAUAUUCCACUCUAUUGGGGGAAUUUCUUUCUUAGGUAUGCACCUCUUAUAGUUAUGGUUUACAAGGUUUUUUUUUAAUACUAUAUUACUCCCAUCACUAAUUAAACAUACCAAAUAAAGGAAUAGAAUUUAUAAGCACUUCAUGCUUGGCAUUUCUUAGCGGCCACAUUUGGUGCCUAGGACUGAAUUGGAUAACUCACAAGAUUCAAUAAAACUAUGGUUGAAAGAUUUUUCAUUUUGUGAGGAUUAAAAGGGGCAACAAAUCUCCUCUCCAAGAAUGAAACUUUGUCGAACUAGAUCGGACUGGACUGGACUGAACUCAACCCCAAUUUUGUCUUGUCUUCGCCACCAAACGUCUACUCGUAAAUAGAACCUAGCCACACGUAGUGCCUUCUCCAAUGCCAACCAGACGAAAUGUACUACAUUUGCUUGUGGAAACAAAUGCGUAGGCAAAUUCACUAAAUUGAAAAGACAUGAAUUAAAUUUGUGAACUGAUAAUACACAAGGACUAGCAAGUUAUUAAGCCCAAAACAAAAAGCCCCUGGCAAGUAACCAGCAUGUGAGAGAACUAUAAUAUUCACAUGAGACAACAAGACCAAGACCCGAAACUCUUAUGCAUUGCAUCUUUACGAUAGCCCUCCUCCUUUAUCCGGGCUUGGGACCGGCUGCGCCUAAAUACACAAUAUUAAGACACAGGCGGAGUUGCUAUUCAUUCAAGUAAUUGAAACAACAAAUUCUUGGAAAAUUGUGUUGAUUUUUGACGUACCAUGAGUACAUAUCACAUGGUCUUGACAUACUGUAUAGGUAUACGUACAAUAUAGAAUCUAUACUAUAAUAAACGUAGUGAUAUAUAAAUGCCUUGCUUUGAGAAAUUUUUGAAUAUAACA
This 65837-nucleotide long non-coding RNA is filed under the name Prunus persica (peach). Its description in RNAcentral is "long non-coding RNA (PPER_LNC001848)". Lineage: Eukaryota; Viridiplantae; Streptophyta; Magnoliopsida; Rosales; Rosaceae. The record is from RNAcentral.